AAGGAUGCUUUGGUGGUGAUGGUGGUGGAGGUGGUGGGGACUUGUACUUGUAAGGGUGCUUGGGUGGUGAUGGUGGUGGAGGUGGUGGAGACUUGUACUUGUAAGGGUGCUUGGGUGGUGAUGGUGGUGGAGGUGGUGGAGACUUAUACUUGUAAACUGGAGAUGGUGGGGGUGGAGACUUGUACUUGUAAGGGUGCUUGGGUGGUGAUGGUGGUGGUGGUGGGGACUUGUACUUGUAAGGAUGCUUGGGUGGUGAUGGUGGUGGAGGUGGAGGAGACUUGUACUUGUAAGGAUGCUUGGGUGGUGAUGGUGGAGGAGGUGGUGGAGACUUAUAGUUGUAAACAGGAGUUGGUGGGGGAGGAGAUUUGUACUUGUAAGGCUUCUUGUGUGGUGGUGGUGGUGGAGAGUAGACCGGAGGAGGCGGUGGUGGAGACUUGUAAUGGUAAGGUGGUGGUGGGUACUUCUUAGGUGGUGGUGGAGGAGAAGAAUAAGUGUAAUCUGCUGAGGUUUCAAAAGGCAAAUUGAGAGACACUGCUAAAACUAAAAGAGUGAGAAAGAGAGAGGUCAUUGAUGACCCCAUUUUCCCCAUCCUUACUUCUAAAAAUGGGUUUAAUUUGGUUAUGCUCUUAGCAGCCCUCUUCACUCCCUUUAUAUAGACUUUGUUUUAAAGUUACAAUCAUGAUAAAAGUGUGAAGGUGGACCGAACCUUCAGCAGCAUUGAAAAAAGACGUUACGUUUAGGUUAUUAGCAUGGUAUGACAUAAUAAUUCUCUAUUCUCUUCCUUGUCGUUUCCCAUAAAUUUAAUUUAAAUAGUCCAUUUGCUAUAUUUAUAUUUCUGUUUCUCUAUUAAAUAUUUAUCAAAUUCAUUUCUCACUCCUUAUAGAAUAUGAAUAAUUAAUCAUUAAACUCGAUUUAGUAAAUACUUUAAAAAAUGAUUUAUCUUAUUUUUAUGCUUUAAUUAAGGCAUCAAAUCAUUAAUCCCAUUUGAUAUUAUGAAAAUUUAUCACUUAAUUGAUCAAAAUGUGAUUCUUGGCAGGAAAACAUAAUUUACUUUCCUUAAAAUGUAAUUUUUAUUGAGAGUUAUUUUUCCACUAACAAUAGAAAGUGAUUCUCUUUAUAAUUCGUGAAAAAAUUACUUUCACAUGUAAAUAAAAAUUGUUAGGAUAAAAUUAACUUUUCUUUUAUUUAUGUUAAGGUUACUAAUUAACUUAUUCAACUUUAAUAAAAGAUAAACAUAGUUGUAGCUUGUUUGUUGAUGUUAGUUUUUUGUCUUUACAACUUCAAACCAUUAUUCUAGUGUAAUUUUUUUUUCUUUCUAAAUAGUAGAUAAGUAUCUAUAUUUUAUUUUGCUAUAAGAAAAUUAUAUUUUUUAGCAUACAAAACUUAAGAUAACUUGUAGAAUCAAGUAGUUGUAUACCUAUUACUCUAGCAAUAAUAAUAUUGACAUUGUCUACUUUCAAAUUAAAAUUUCAAAUUAGUUCAUUGCCCAAUUUUCUCAUUAAAAAAAAUUAUAUAUAACAUGUCAACUUAACGAAACUUACAUGAAAUUUUGUAUGUGUUAAAAAUGAAAAAUAUGGCGGUUAUUAAAAAAGAUGUCAUACAUCUAAAUCAAACUACUAAUUUAAAAAUUAGUAUUGAGAUAAUUUCAAGCCAUAUAUGCAAUAUUUGAGUAUACUUGAACUUAUACAUACAAAUUAGUGAGGAUUAAAAUUUUGUAAAUUGUACAUCUUCACAAUCUUGCGUUAAUAUACAAUUUUUUUAAUGUAUUAAUAUAAUGUUUUAGAUCAAGACGUGAAAAAACAUAAUUCAAAUAUUUGUUAAUAGUAAAAAAUUAUUAAUAAAUAUUUAAUUCAAAAUUUAUUAAUAAUAAAAAUUAUUGAAAAAUAUUAAAUACGUUAAUAUUAUUUUUAUUUAAUAAUGAUACUUUUGUACAGUAAUCUUAUAUUCCCAAAUAAGUGUUAAAUGUGUCAAGAUUUUAAUCAAUACUUUCCGGUGAUUACCAAACGUUGUGAAGUAACUUCUUAAACAAUAAUAUUCUUAUCAAUCACAUUCCAUUAAAAUUUUAACAUAGAAAAGCACCAAAACGCCCCCUUAAAAUCGUGGUAAGUCUUGUUUGUCUAAAAUUUAAAUAUUUAUUUUAUUAUUUAAAAUAUAUUAAUUUUCUAAAAAAAAUCAUUAAUAUUUAUAUUUCUAAUUUUAAACAUUCUUUUGUUAAUUAAAUGAUAGUCUAAACGGUUAAACUCAAAUCGAAAGCAUUUUAUCUUAUAUUAGAUUAUAUGAAUCAUAUUAUGGUUGAAAGUAAAAUGUAUAAAAUCAAUACAAACAUCAAAUAUUAAACUUCCACUCAAUAGAUUUUAAAAUUUCUAAUUUUAUCACUAAUCUAUUUUAAGAUUUUUUUAAAAAAAAUCGUACUUUAGAUUAUCUAAUUUAAAAUUUUAUAAAAUUAUUAAAAAAUAUUCUUGUAAUAAAAAAAAUUUGUUUUAAAAUUUUUAAUUUUUUAUAUAACCAAUGAAUUUUUUACGUUUGUUUUAACUGGUUAUCUAAACAAAAUAAAAACUUAUUUAGUUUAAAUAAAGUGGUAAAUGUGAAAGCACCACAAAUCACAACUACAUUAGUUUUAUAAUUGGAUUAAUUUAAUCACCGGCAGAGGAAAUGUGUUAGUUCUAGCUACCAACAAUUCAUUUUAAUUCCUUUAAAAAUAUUAGAAAAAACCAAUUUGAUUUUUAAUAAUAGAUCUAAUUACUUAAAGGAACAUGGGUGAUGUGCACAUGGCAUACAAGCAUAAAAAAGAACAAAAAGAUUAAGUAUCUUUGCAAAAUAUCUCUCUCUGAAAUAAAUAAAACUUAAAAAAAAACAAUUUUAUUAUCAAAAUAAAAAGAAAAUAGUGUUUUUCUUCACAAAAAAAGAAAAGAAAAGAAAUACUAGUGUUUUUAAUUAAAAUAGAGUGAUCUGGGUAGAAUCUUUUACUUAAAUACUGACAUUGACUUUAUAAGCUAUUUUUUAUCAAAAGAAGAAAGAGAAAAGCAUCCGAUUGAAGAUGUGAAUUAUUAAGUUAAAAUUAAUCAUACAUGUAAAAUAUUAUUGUGCUUUUUUCUAGCCCUCCGAAAGACAUUAUGCUUUGAUUACAACAUUCUUCCUCAGAGAUGAGGUUUGAAGAUGAACUCGGAUGCAUUUAGAUUUUUACAAGACGAAAGUAAAUUAAAGGAUGUUAGUACUUGUAUUCCGAUACGCUUAUAAUACAGAAAGCAAGUAAUAUGUGACUGUACAUAAUGGCUAUGAGGCGAGGAUAUGAUACGAGAAGAUAGAGAUGAGAGAUUGCACUUAAGGGGUUAGCACCUCUUUUCUUUUUGUGUUUGGUCCCCAAAGCAUAUCUCUUAUUGGCUGAUGUUGCAAGGCGGUCCCAUAAGUUGGGCUAAAAGUGCUUGAUAGCUAGAAUUAAUAUUGUGGUAUAACAUAUGUCACCCCUAUAUUUGAAUAAGGUUACAAAGUGACUACUUGAAGAUUUAAAAAAGCAUGGAGAUAAUUUUGUUGCGAAAAUUAAAAGUAAGAGCUAAAUUGUUUGGCUUUAUUAGAGUAUAGACUCUGUUAGUCUAUUAUCAUUUUGUUAUAUAGGCUGGAAUAUUAUUAGUAAGCAGUUAGCAGCAGUUAGUCAUACAAGUAUAAAUUCUAUUCAUGUAUUGUUCAAAGAUAAGCUAAUAAUACCAGAAGAGAUUUAACAUGUUCAUUCUACUUUUUUUUGUUAUUCUUCAUAAUACAGUUGUUAACAUGGUCUCAGUCGCCAAAUUUCUUGGAGGUUGCUUCUAUUGUAGAUCCAUGGCCAAUUCCACUGAUUCUACCUUCGCUGGUCGUAGCAGUCCCUCAUUCUCAGUUCAUGUUUGGUUCAAUCGUUUCCUCGUCAUGGCACUGUGAAGUUAGAUGAAGGAAAUUUUGUACAAUGGCAACAGCAUAUCCAAUUGAUAAUUGAAGGAUAUGAACUCAUAAGAUUUUUAGAAGGGACGUUACCUGCUCCGCCUCGCUUUGUGUCAUCUCCGGAUGGAAACUUAGCUCUGACUCCCGAUGCAUCCCUGUUUGUUCAGCAAGAUAAGUUACUCGCUUAUUGGUUACUUUUUACGAUUAGUGCUCCUUUGUUUUCUUGUUUUACAACUGCUAAGACGGCGUGUGAGGUUUGGAGCACUGCGAAUUGCCUAUUUGCUGCUGCCACUAGAGCCAAGCUUUCGCGUAUUAAGCAUGAACUCCAGUCCAUCACGAAAGGCGUGAUGACUAUCAAAGAGUAUAUUGCUAAGAUUCAAAAUACUUGUGCGUUACUCGAGGAAUCUAGAUCAGUGGUUUUAAAGGCUGAAAAGGUAGAGAUCAUUCUUGCCGGCCUAUUGUCUGAUUAUGAUGUCGUUUUAACUCUGGCAUCGUUCUCAACUGAAACUUUUUCGUUAUAAAAGAUUGUUGAUAUGCUUCUGGAGUUCGAAAGCCAUCAGACUCAAGCGGUGAACGACGUACCUUUUCAUGCUCAUUUGGUAGAGGCCACUUCGGCGACAUCCGUGGAGGACUCCGUACGUGGUGGUCGUCCUCCUUCUGGUGCUCGUAGGCGCGACUUUCGAUCUCAGCUUCAGUGCCAGGACUAUGGUUGCUAUGGACAUUUGGUACAAUGCUGUUAUUAUCAGUUCAACCGCGACUACAGUGAUCUGUCUGUUUUGACCAUGGCGCGGGUUUCGCCUGUUCAUGCUGAUCACAAUUAGCAUAACGAUGUUUUUGGCGCAAGUGGUCUCUCGACUAGCUGGUUUUCAUCAACUUGUCCUGGUCCGGACCCGUUCGUGCCUGGACAGUAUGUCGAUUCUUUGGUGGUGACACCGGCGUAUUUCUCUUAUGGCUCAUCAUGGUGAGGGUGGCCACAUUUGCAAAACAAUGCCUCCCUUGUGCCAAGUUUGUUGAAUGUUAAGGUUUCUAACCCUUUUGCUCAUAAUUUUGACGAUGGGGCAGGCUAGGUGUUUGGGCUCGCUGUUGGACCAAGCUCAAAUUGUGGCCAAUUUGGUGGUCCUCACUUACCGCGGAGAAUGGGCCAGCACGUUAGGCCAUUUGCUAGUGUUCCUAGGCCGACUGGUUCAGGCCAAGAUUUUGGGCCAUAUGGAAUUCGUAGGCUAACCAGUGCUGGUCCUAACAUUGGACAGGGUUCACUUGGGCCAAAUGUUAAUUUUGUUAGACUUGAGGGCUCUUUUGGGCAUGGACAAGGACUUUGGCCCACCACUGGCAAUGUUUCAGUGCCAAAUAAUGGGUCAUGCGUUCCAUGGCGCACUAAACUGACGGCGCACAUUAUUGAUUGAUUUCUCACUGUGUGUUGGGUUGCCUCACAUUCUUGAUUUUCAUGUGUCUGAUAUUUUUACUACCUCUGGGUCCAAUGCUAACACGACUCCGUAUGGGUCUAAUUUUGAUAAUGAUAACUCUUACAUUCCUAUGCCUGUAGGGACCUUGUCCUGGUGUCUUAAUUCAGGGUCUAUACAUCAUGUCUAUCGAGAAGCCUCUACCUUGAACGAGUCUACGCCAUACUCAGGUACAUCUCCUCUCCUCAUGGAUGAUAUUACUCCUACAAAAAUAUCAUGUGUUGGAAACUCUAUCUUGCCUACGAAGACUAAGCUGUUUCAUCUAUCUAAUGUUUUGUGUGUGCCAAAUAUACGGAAGAAUCUGCUAUCUGUCUCUCAAUUUGCUAAUGACAAUAAUAUGGUCUUUGAAUUUCACCCGUCUUAUUGAGGACAUCCAGACUCAGGAAAUUUUGCUUCGGGGCCACACUCGUGAUGGGCUCUAUUAUUUUUCGUAGGUUACUCAUGUUCCGUCUGUCGUUGUUCCUUCUGUUCACAACACUGGGCUCCAGAGUCGCAAUGCCGGUGAUGAUGUUUUUACGUUAUGGCACUACAGACUUGGUCAUCCGUCUGCCUCGAUUGUUAAACUUGUUCUCGAUAAGUGUCAAGUUGUUUCAACUAAAAUGUACCUUGAAAAUAUUUGUAUUGCUUGUCAAAAGGGGAAGUCCCAUAAACUGUCUUUUUCAAGUUCUACUACUAAAUAUACGGAUUUGUUUGAAUUGGUUGUCUUUGACUUAUGUGGACUGGCAUCUGUUGUCUGUAGAAAUAAUCUGUAUCAUGUUUCGUUUAUCGACAUGUGUAGUUAUUUUACUUGGAUUUAUCUCAUUAAACGUAAUUCUAAGGAGGUUGAAUGUUUUCUUCAGUUUCAGAAAAUGGUCAAAACUCAGUUUGGGAAAGAUAUUAAAAAAAUUCAAAGUGAUUGGGGUGGUGAGUUUCUUGCCUUUACGUCAGUUCUGGCUAGUCAUGGGAUACUUCAUCACCUCUCCUGUCCAUAUACAUCCGAGUAGAACGAUGUAGCUGAACGAAAACAUCGACACAUUGUUGAGAUGAGUCUUAUUCUAUUGGCCAAAGCUAACCUAUCCAUGGAUUUCUGUGGUUUCGUAUUUUACAAUGCCAUUCAUCUCAUUAGUCUUCUACCGACCCUAGUUCUGAAAGGUCAGUCUCCAUAUCAGGUUCUUCAUGGUAGUGACCCUACAUAUGAUCAUUUACAAGUAUUUAAGUGUUGUUGAUUUUCGUACCUGCGUCUGUUUCUGCAACACAAGUUGGAUUUUCAUUCUCAGCCAUGCAUAUUUUUUAGGUAUAGUUCUCAACAUAAAGGCUAUCACUGCCUCACACCAAAUGGUAAGGUCAUUGUCUCUCGUCAUGUUGUGUUUGAUGAACGUUGGUUUUUCUUUUCUUCAAAUGCUGUGAACACCGUUCAGUUAAGUCCAUGUAUCUCUACAUAUGUUCCUAUUGUUCGGUCUUCAUCUUGCCGCCCCACGACAUCUUCGCUUGUUCGACCCACUGAGUCAUCGACUCUUGCUCCUAAUUGUAGUUCCACGCUGUCUGUUUCAGUUGACACUCCGGCUGAAUUAGGUUUUACUCAUGAGGUGCAUCGGCUCUCUACCUCAUCCCUUGAAUCUCGUCAAUGCGAUCCAACUACAAUUCCAUUGGCUGUUCCAUCUAUUUCUCUGGAAUACUCAUAACACUAUUACUCAGCUAGACCCAAAGCUCUGUCUGUUGAAAUUGUCAACUGUGAGUCGAUCACGAUUGAAGAGGCGCUCGCUAGUAAGGAAUGGCAAUUAGUUGUCCAAGCUGAGUUUGUUGCUAUAAUGGUUAACUCCACUUGGGAGCUUGUUCCCUUACCUCAUGGUCGAAAAGUGAUUAGGUGUAAGUGGCUUUUUAAAAUAAAAAAAUCCUGAUGGGACUAUCACUUGACGUAAGGCUCGGUUGGAAGCAAAGGGUUGUUCUCAGGUACUCAGGUGUGAUUUCAAGGAAACCUUUAGUUUGGUAGUUAAACCUGCUACUAUUAGAACCAUAUUAUCUGUUGCUAUCUCCAACGGUUGGCAAUUUGGUCAGGUAGAUGUGAACAAUGCUUUUUUAAAUGGUGAUCUUAUUGACGAAGUGUUCAUGCAGCAACCUCUAGGCUAUGUUCAGAUUGGUCAAAAUGGUGAGCCCUUGGUGUAUCAUUUGACAAAGGUGUUGUACAGAUUAAGACAAGCUCCACGUGCUUGGUUUGAUAAAUUGAAACGUUUUUUUGUUUCUAUUGGAUUUGCUUUAUCCAAAUCUGAUGUAUCCUUAUUUGUUCAAGUUAAUUCGAAUCCACUAUUUAUGUUUUAGUCUAUAUGGAUGAUAUUAUCGUUACUAGAAGUACGAUCGACGGUAUAAAUGGCUGUAUUCAAUAGUUACAUAAUGUGUUUCCCUUAAAGAUAUGGGAGAUCUUUACUACUUCUUAGGCAUUGAAGUCACUCGGUAGUCCACUGGGAGUCUCCAUUUGUGCCAACGCAAAUACAUUCGGGAUCUUCUUGACAGUAGUUUUUUAGCUAAUGCAAAGAGUGUUCACACACCGAUGGUUAGUUCUUUUACGUUGUUUAAAGAUGUGGGAGAUCGCCUCGUUGAUCCUACUGGAUAUAGAAGUCUUGUCGGUGUAUUACAAUAUGUGGUCUUGACUCUGCCUGAUAUUGCUUAUGCUAUAAAUCAUGUUUGUCAAUUCAUGCAUGCCCCUACUACAGUACAUUUGGUGGCUUUGAAAAGAAUCUUGCACUAUUUAUGUGACACUAUUAAUCAUGGGUUAAUUUUGUCUGUUCAACAUAUUGUCUUUAGUUGGCUAUGCUAAUGCCAACUGGGGACUGGAUUUUGAUGAUCGUAAAUCAACAACAAGCUAUUGUUUGUAUUUUGGGUAUACACCCAUCUCUUGGUGAUCUAAGAGACAACUCUACUGCGUGAGGCGAAGUAUUUUGGCCGCACCAUGGCUGAGGUGAAGUAUCGAAGUCUAGCAACAACUACCAGUGAUGUUACUUGGUUAGUCUCUCUACUAACAAAAUUACAGAUUCAUUCUAUAGAUCCACAUACUAUUUGGCGUGACAACUCUAAUGCAGUAGCGGUCAUUGCUAAUCCGGUCUGACACUCUAAAUUUAAACAUGCCAAGCUUGAUCUAUUUUUUGUUCGCGAAAAGGUCGCUAAUGGUUCUCUCGUUGUCGGUGAGAUUCUAGCAUGUGAUUAAGUUGCUGACAUUCUCACAAAACCACUGUUCGUCUCUACUUUUGCUAGGUUUCGUAGUCUGCUUCAAUUCUUACCUCUUGAGAAGCUGGGUGAAGCCAGGUGAAUAUUAGAGUAUAGACUCUGUUAGUCUGUUACCAUUUUGUUAUUCAGGCUGGAAUAUUGUUAGUAAGCAGUUAGUCAUAGCAGUUAGUCAUACAAUUAUAAAUUCUAUUCAUGUAUUGUUCAAAGGUAAGCUAAUAAUACCAAAAGAGAUUUAAUGUGCUCAUUCUACUUUCUUUGUUAUUCUUCAUAAUACAGUUGUUAACAUGCUUGAUAUCAUCUCUUAGAGAGAACGAGGAGAGAUAAGAGUAAGAGUAUGAGCCAACUAGGGAUAAGGCUCUACCAUAAUACCUUGGAUGCAAUUAAAGUAAGAGUAAGAGCCAACUUGUUUGGCUUGAUAGCAUCCCCUUAUAGAAAAGGCUCUACCGCAUGGCAUGAGAGCAAUAAAAGUAACACUCAAUUUCUUGGGUUGAUAGCAUCUCCUUAGGGAAAAGGGUUUACCAUGUGACAUGAAAGCAAUUAAAGUAAGAGUAAGAUCCAACUUGUUUGUCUUAAUAGCAUCAUUUAAGAGAAAUAUCCCAAUCAAUUUAUUCAAAUAUGUUAAUCAAAUAAUGCAAGUUACAAUGUUCUGUCAGUUUUUCCUUUAAUUGUAACUGGGUUAAAGUUGGUAGUUGUAACUGCUACUAAUAGAAUGGAUACGGUAGAAAUGGUUGCAAGCAACAUAAGCAAAGAUGACUUUAAUGUCUUUGUAUUGACCACGUGAGAACUAUAGAAUGCAGAGAAUAGUAUGGUGAUUGGCAACAGAAUGCUACUAACCUUGAGGAUAGUAGACAGGGAUGGAUCCACGGGGGUUGGGGGCGGUCCCCCCUUGGAAUUUUUAAAAUUUUAAAUUUUAUAUAUAAAUUAUCAUGUAUUUUAAAUUUGGUGUCCACAUUGUAUAGCAUUCACCCCCCUUUUCCAAAUUGCAUUUCAUAUCAUUUGCCCUCUUAAGCCAUAAGGUUAUACUUUAUAUUAACAAAGUAUUUUCCAUUUUUUAAUUAUAUAAAUUUAAUAAUAAUAAUAAUAAUCAAAUAUUAAUAUAUGAUUGGCAUUGAAAGACUAAACAUAAAGGUCCAGUUGAGACUUUAAAGCCAAAUUCCAUAAUUAAUUAAUUGAUUUGGCCCAUACCAGUACAUAUUAGGUUAGCGAAAUUCUUGUAUUUUGAUUUGUAUGUCUUGCUAAGGAAUUAUCUUCCUUUGGUAAGGUGUUGACACUGCCAAGAGAAAAAGAAAGGAUUUUGAUGUCGAGAUUGUGAGCAUAGAGUAAAAAAAAUACAAAUUAUCUUCCUCUUAGCUCCUUAUGGAAAAAACCUCUCGGUAAAUAUUUUUGCAUAAAUUAUGUUUUUUAUUAAUUUGACUUAGUUUUUUUCUUUUUUCCUAAUACAUUGUUGUUUAAUAUAUUCUUACAAUCAUCAGGUUUUUUGACUAAAUUAUGGUCAAUAAAAACAUCGAAUCUAUUUAAAAAAAAAGAGUGUCAGAAAGCAAUAAUGAUCAACCGGUUCCUCAACCUUCCAUUAUUAGUGAAGAAAAAUCAAAUAUCGGAUCUUCCAAAGCUCUUGAACAAAAUAUCAGGUCUUCUUAAGCCCAAGCUCCUAAAUGCGGUAUGGAGUCUUCCCCAACUCCUGAACGAGAUUGUAACAAUCCAUACCCAAUUCGAUCACCAAAUCCAAGUAGAGAGCGCCGCAACUUAAACCAUAUGAAUUGAAUAAUAAAUAUUUGAAAUUUAUUAAAGUAUCGAGUUCUUGGUGUAACCCUCAGUAUAACAAUACGAAACAAUUAAAUCAAUGAUACGCCAGGAAAAAAUGUUUUUAGGCAAAACACAUGGCGGAAGCCUUACAAAAUUUUAUAAGUUUAUAUAAAAUGUAAGAUGAGUUAAUCCCAUACAACAGUUUCAAGUGCAUCGUUGGCGGUUAAAAGAACAUUCAAAAACUAUUCGGCGUAUAUGCCAAUGAGACAAUCACGUGGAACAAGAUAUAGUAGCUUAAACACAUACAUCACUUACCACGUCAUCAUAACAUAUACUAACCAUAUAAACAAACUUAUCGAGCUGCGAACUAACAAGUUCACCCAAACAUCUAGGGUUAGCGAUAACUUAUUAGAAGAGCCCGCCAAACCCUAGAGUUCGCCAAAACCUGGAGUUCACCAAAUGGCGACUCCCAUAGAAUACGCCAAACACACAACCAAAAAUAAAUACUCUACUAAUUUACUCAUUUUAUAUUCUUAGCAUAAACAACUAUGCACCAAACAGUAACUUGAUACAUUAUCUUUCGGGCGAGUUGUUACAAUUCUCCCCCAUUUAGAAACUUUUGUCCUUGAAAUUCUUACCGGUGAAUAACUGAGGAUAUUGUUCUUUCAUCGAACUCUCUCUUUCCCAAAUGGCUUCUUUUGUAUUGUGAUUUAUCUAUAAUACAUUAACCAAAGGAAUUCUUUUACUUCUCAACUCUUUUACUUCCCUUGCUAAAAUACAAACAGGUUCUUCUUCAUAGGACAAGUUUUGCUCCACUUCCAGUGCUUUGACUUGUACCACAUAAUCUGGAUUGGAUUGAUAUUUUCUUAACAUAGAUAUAUUAAACACAUUAUGUAUAUUUGAUAACUCUGGUGGCAACACCAGUUUGUAUGCCACUGGACCAACUUAUUCCAAAAUCUCAUAUGGUUCUAUGAAAUGCAGACUUAAUUUCCCUUUUUGUUCAAACCUUAUGAUCUUCUUCCAAAGAGAAAACUUCAUAAAUGCAUUGUCACCCACUUCGAAAGAGAUUAUUUUCCUUUUUAGAUCAGCAUAAGCUUUCUGGCGAUCUUAAGUUACUUUCAGAUGAUUUCUAAUGAUAAAGACUUUCUCUUCUGUUUCUCAUACUAAAUCAAGACCAACUAUUUUCCUUUUACUGAGUCUCAUCCAAUAGGUAGGAGAUCUGCACCUUCGUCUAUACAAAGCUCCAAAUGGUAACAUUCCCAGACUGUCAUAAUAACUAUUAUUAUACGCAAACUCUAGCAAAGGAAGAUAUCUUUCUCAAUUCAUUCUAAAAUCUAUAAUACAACCUCUAAACAUGUCUUCUAGAACUUGAAAUACUCUUUCAAAUUGCUCAUCGAAUUAGGGAUGAAAGGUAGUACAGAAUCAUUAUUUCGUUCCCAACGAUUCUUGCAGUUGUCUCCAAAAUCUCAAUGUAAACAUUGGGUCUCGAUCUGAAACUAUGGAUGUUGGAAUCCCAUGAGGCGUACAACUUCAGAAACGUAGAGAUUAGCCAACUUUUCCAAUAAGUAAUUUGUGCGGACAAACAAGAUAUGGGCUAACUUAGUAAGUCGAUCUACAAUUACCUAGACUGAGUACUUCUUCGAAAGGAUGAGAGGGAGAGCCAAAACAAAAUCCAUGGUGAUCUUAUCCCACUUCCACAUAGAUAUCUCUAAAAGGUACAACUUGCCUAAGGGAACCUGAUGUUCUAUUUUAAUCUGCUGACAUGUCAAACAAAUGGAAAUGUACUUUGUUAUUUCUUUCUUCAUUUCAAGUCAGUAAUACAAACUUAUCAAAUUAUGAUACAUUUUAUGUAAAACUCUCAACCCAACUCGAAAUGUCGAGUCUGGAUCUCGGGUAUUACUAUACAUAAUACUUGGCAAAAUAUCAAAAUAGUUGACAAAUACUCUUUAUAGAAAACAUUUUCUUAUUAUUUUAACCAAAAGACUAAAUAUUUAAUAACAAGAGAAAAUAUUAAAAACAAAAAAAAAUUAUUACAUCAGACUUGGUACAACUCAUUAUAGUAUAAAAUUUUGUUAAAGACAUACUCUUGGGGCAUAACCCUAAUCUAAGCCACUUUUCCACUAUAUGCAUAAUAACCCACUUCGCCACUAUCUUGGCGUACUCCUAGCAUCGUCACUCCUAAUGCAUUCUCUACCCAUACACCUGAAAACAACAACAUUUUAAGCUUAAGAUAACUUAGUGACUUUUAUCCCAAAAAUACCUUGGCGAGUACUUUAUAUUAUUUGAAGAACAUUUGUGCGCCAUCUAUCCUUCUGAACCACCUUCUUCUGAAUUAAGUGGAUACUAUUAUAGAUUCAACUUUCACUUACACGCCAACUAUCAUACUCUUAACAAACUCACUUAUUCUAGAAUAGUUGUUCACAUAUAUUAAUCACUAAUUGAUACAUUCAUAUUUGGCGAAUACUUACGCAGAUCUGAAUACCAUCAAACUACUAAUCAAAUCAUACCUUGAUCCGAUACCAUACAAACUCAUACUGAUAAUGUACUACACAAAUUAUUCAAAUGAAUUUUCCACUACUUUGUUACAGGACCCCAGAUAAUCAUCAUAACAAUAACUCAAUUUUCAUAUGAUUUCAGAAGAAGAUAUAAUACAACCCAAAUACGGCAAAUUCCAGAUAACUCAGAUUCAACAACUGCUUAACACAUACGAACUCACAUUUAUAAUUUCUUAUGUCCCACAUAACUACGACUAUGUCUAUAUUCAACACUAACAAAUAAUCAUGACGGAUACCCUUCUUAUACAUAUAUGCAUUUCUUUUCUAGAAAUCUCUUAAGACUUACUCAAUUAUAUCACAUAUCUUAUUCAACCCUUAACUUUAGACAUAUCAUAACCCUAUCAUAUCAAUAUCUAUCACAAAAAAAAUCAGGAUUUAUCCAAAACUUACCAUAAAGGUAGAUAAUCAUAUUAUAUCAGACAAACUUAACUAAAUGUGCCACAAAGGCCAAACAAAAUAUGCCUUAAAGGCUUCAUACAAAAUCACGUGUUUACUAUCCCGACGGACUAUCACAAAAGGUGUCAUGGGUUUCUCCCACAUGGACUUAUACAUAAUUUCAUGUAUUGUGAUCUGCCAUUUUGAAUCAUACGUUAUCGAAGGAUACUCCAUAAGCAUACAUACAGACAUAUCUUGCCAUGUGUCUCAGCCACAUGGCUUAAACACACAUUCAUGUACUGUGAUAUGUCAAUCCAGUCUUACUCUUAUUAGAGCCUACACCAUGAGUGUUUUCAAAUCAUAUUAAGAUGUUGUAGGUCUCAACCUCAUAGUCUUACACUUGUUUUCAUAUCGUGACCUGCCAGUCUAGUUAGCAAUAUAAUUGCCUACCAGAGGCUUCAUAGAGGAACAUUUGCUUAGAUUCACUUACCUAGAUGAUCUGUAACACCCCUUACCCGAGACCGUUGUCAGAGUCGAGCACGAGGUAUUACUUAUCUUAUCUUACUAACUCGAAGCAUAAAAACUUGUUUUAAAAAUUAAUUUCACUAUUUAUAGCAAUUUGUCCAAUCGCGCAGCAGUUACUAAAUUAAUUAUAACUCGAGAUACGGAACUUGAAAUUUAACUCCGUAAAUUUUCCCUGAAACUAGACUCAUAUAUCUUCCUACCAUAAAAAUUUUAGGAUUUUUAGUUUAUCAAAUUAGUACAGUUUAUUAGUUAAAUUCUCCCCUGUUUCACAAAUCGACUGCCCUGACCUCUUAUCACUAAAAAUAAAAUGUAUCAUUGUGGGAUUUUCGUAUAGUGCUACCGCUUGCUUCUACAGAAAAUAGACUCAAUAAGGAAUCUAUACAUAUAAACUACAACUCAUAAAUAUUUUUUUAAAAUUUUUAAUGAUUUUAUAAACUCAAAACAGGGGUCACCAAAAACUGUUCUAACCCUGUCUCACCAAAAUUCACAUAUCUUAAAAUAUAAAUUCCUUUUGCUACACCGUUAUUUUUAUGUGAAAAUAGACUCAACAAGAUUUAUGUCAUUCAAUAUUUAAUUCAUUUUAUACUAUCCUAGGUGAUUUUUCAAAGUCACGUCACUGUUGCUGCCUGAAUUCUGUUUCUUUGCAAAAUUUUACCCUUUUAUGAUUUCCAUGCAUAGUUUAUCACUUAGACUCUUAUAACAACAAACACUUCCAUACUUAACCAUUUUAGCAACCAUUCAUCAUCAAAUACUUACACAUCAUUCUUUAGCAAGAUCAUAAAUACAAACAUUUAAAAUAACUAAAUCCCUUUACAUUCCAUACUCAACAUGGUUCAACAUAAAAAUACCGAGUUGCUGUGGUUGAUAGUGUGGACGAUCUCCGACUUCUUUAGGAUCCUUGAAGUAACCUUGCAAUACUAUAAGAGAAAGAGAAAUAAAAGACGUAAGCAUAAAGCUUAGUAAGUUUACUAGCAAAUAAAUAACAAUAUUUAACUAGAUAAUUAAACUCAAGUGUCUAUAUCUCUAGUUUACUAUUUAGUUAAUCUCAUUCUAGUUCUCUUGCUUGUUUACUUAGUAUACUUGUGUGCAUAACUUACUCCUCUCUUGCUGUAUAGUUGAAUAUCAAUUGAUAAUAUAAUAAGUUAUUAACUCUUAUAACUUACCUGAACUUGCCAUUUAUGUUUUUAACUGAACUUUCCUGAACAUGAUUCGUUAUUUAGCCCGUUGAGCUACAUUGGAACAAUAAGGAUACUCGGGUCUCUUCUGAUAAUAACAUGCCAAAGCCAUGUCCCAGACAUGGUCUUACAUGGGAUGUACUCAUGUCGGUGCCCAUUCCAUAUCCCAGACAUGGUCUUACGGGGGACCUCUCAUCUCGGUGCCAAUGCCAUGUCCCAGACAUGGUCUUACAUGGGACCUCUCAUCUCGGUGCCAACGCCAUGUCCCAGACAUGGUCUUACAUGGGACCUCUCAUCUCGGUGCCAACGCCAUGUCCCAGACAUGGUCUUACAUGGGACCUCUUUACCCAAAUGUCAUGACAUUCGUAUCCAGUACCAUCCUUACUAUUCAUGACAACCGAUAUAUAUAUAUACAUACUCACUAUUCACAAGGACUCGAACGAUUAUAUACUCAUCAACCACCUUAAAACAAUGUUCAUAAACUUAUCCAUUUCAUAUAAACAAAAGCAUAUAUAUUUAUAACCAAUGCAUAGAAUCACUUAAUUUAAACAGAUUCACUGGCACUUCACCUGAUAGGCUUAUAGUUUAAUUCAGUUCACCGGCACUUAGCCUACUAGGCUUGUAGCCUGAUUCAGUUCACCGGCACUUAGCCUGCUAGACGUAUAGUCCGAUUCAAUUCACCGGCAUUUAGCCUGCUAGACGUAUAGUCUGAUUCAAUUUACCGGCACUUAGCCUGCUAGACGUAUAGUCUGAAUAAUUUUACUGGUAAUAAAUCCGAUAGUAAUUUCUCCGUUGAAAUUGAAUUAUAUUCAAUUCUGCGUAACAAACAUGCACUUAAAACAUACUUGCAUAAUUCACAACAAUAAUUUCAGUCCAAAGAGCUGUAAUUCAUAUUCGAACUAUAUAUAUAUAAAUCCAUACAUAAAAAUUCAACUCAAAAUUUAUAACCUAUAUCUUUGAACCACAUAGGUACAUGAAAUUCAAACACCAAAAUCCAGCUCAAUAACUUCAUGAUUCAACCUAACAAAUUUAUGUAUAUAACUUUUUAUCUAAUUUCAAUACAAUAACUUAUACAUGUACGUAUAUACAUAUUCGAAUCUAACAUAUACAUAUAUAAUUUCAUACUUAAAUAUAUUCAAGACUUAUUCAUGAGUAUACAUAUAUAUUACAACUCACAUGUACAUAUAUAUACACAUUCAUACCUUUAACCAAGUCCAAGGCUUUAUACAUGUAUAUGCUUAUAUAUAUAUAUUCGGACCUUAUGUUUACAUAUAUAUAUUAUAUAAAUACCUUUGAUUAAAAACAAGUAUUUAUACAUAUAUAUAUUUUCGAACAUGAUACAUAUAUAUUUAUAUCAUUCAUACUUAAACAAAAUUCAAUCCAUAUACUUUCAAUUUCAGCUCACCAAAUUACUAUAGAUAUACAUGCAUAUAUACUGAUUUAAUAACCUCAAAUUGCUAAUAGACUUACCUCGGAUAUCAGCGGACACGAUCGAGUAUUCGAUUACUUUCGUUUUUCCCCGAUCCAAAUUCGUUUUCUUCGUUUUUUAUCUUAAUUAGACCUAGAGAUAGCCGAACCUUGUUGUUCUCUUUUCUUUUCUUUUCUUUUUCUUUUCUAUAUUCGGCCAAGAUGAAGAACAUGGCAUUUAAAAUUUGUUAUAUUAAACAUAUAUUAGCCUUAUUUUUAAUUUACUAUAUUAACCUUUACAUAUAUAUAACAUAUAUAAUAAGGUUACAUUAGUCCUUUGCCACCCACUAACUUACAUAGUGGACUAAUUGCAUAGUAAAACCUCUAAAUUAUAAAGACAACAAGAAUUAGGUCCUUUUAUAAUUAACCCCUAAAUUUUCAUUUUACGCGAUUAAGCCCUUUUAUUAAAUCGGACACUUAAACGACGAAAUUAAAACACGAAAAUUUCACACAAUCAAAUGCAUACAAAACAAUAUUAAUAAUAUUUUUCUAAUUCAAAUUUGUGGUCCCGAAACCAGUAUUCUGAUUAGGGUCAAAAACCGGGUUGUUACAACUCUCCCCCCUUAGGGAUUUUCGUCCCCGAAAAUCUUACCGGUGAAUAGGUUUGGAUAACGCUCUUUCAUUGUAUCUUCUAACUCCCAAGUUGCUUCUUCAACCCCAUGUUUAUGCCACAACACUUUAACUAACGGAAUUUUCUUAUUUCGUAAUUCUUUGAUCUCACGAGCCAGAAUGCUAAUCGGUUCUUCCUCAUAUGUCAUAUCAGAGUUAAUUUCAAUCUCCGUCGGACUAAUCACAUGUGAAGGAUCAGAUCGGUAUCUACGAAGCAUCGAAACAUGGAAUACGUUAUGAAUCUUUUCUAACUCAGGCAGUAACAUCAAUCUAUAAGCAACCAAUCCAACUCGCUCUAUAAUCUCAUACGGUCCAAUGAAUCUCGGACACAAUUUGCCUUUACGACCAAAUCUGAGUAUUUUCUUCCACGGUGAGACUUUUAAAAACACUUUAUCCCCGAUCUGAAAUUCUAUAUCCUUUCUUUUCAAAUUCGCAUAAGAUUUCUGACGAUCCGAUGCUGAUUUCAGACUGUCCCGAAUCACUUUCACUUUCUGUUCGGUCUCUUUAAUCAAAUCAACCCCGUGUAUCUUAUUUUCACUGAGCUCGGUCCAAUACAGUGGUGUACGACAUUUACAACCGUACAAAGCCUCAUAAGGUGCCAUUUUGAUACUAGAUUGAAAGCUAUUAUUAUAAGCAAAUUCAAUCAAAGGUAAGUAUCGUUCCCACGUACCUUCAAACUCGAGAAUGCAACAUCUCAACAUAUCCUCAAGUAUCUGAAUGAUUCAUUCAGAUUGACCAUCUGUCUGCGGAUCGAAAGCUGUGCUAAAAUGUAGUUUCGUACCUAAAGCAUCUUGUAGUUUCUUCCAAAAUCGCGAUGUGAAUCUCAGAUCUCUGUCUGAAACAAUAGAAAUAGGUACACCAUGCAACCUCACAAUUUGUGAAAUAUACAAUUCCGCAAGUUUAUCGAGCGAAAAAUCUGUACGAAUCGAAAUAAAAUGUGUCGAUUUUGUCAACCUAUCAACAAUAACCCAGAUUGCAUCUAUCUUGCUCGGUGUCAACGGUAAAUCGGAUACAAAAUCCAUCGUGACUCGAUCCCAUUUCCAUUGAGGUAUCAUGAUCGGCUGAAGCAACCCAGAUGGUACCUGAUGCUUGGCUUUAACUUGCUGACAAAUUAAACAUUUCGAAACAAAGUCAGAAAUGUCUCGUUUCAUACCUUGCCACCAAUAGUGCUGUUUCAGAUCGUUAUACAUUUUCGUGCUACCCGGAUGAACAGAAAAUCGACUACUAUGAGCUUCCUUCAAAAUCAUCUAAAUUAACUCUGAUUUUUUCGGAACACAUAAUCGGUUUCUAAAUCUCAAACAAUCCUCAGCAUCAACUAAAAACUCCGAAUCAAUAUUUAAGUCACAUUGAGCUCGUUUUGCAGUUAAAUCAUUAUCGACCUUUUGAGCUUCACAAAUCUGUUGUACAAAUAACGGUUUUGCUUUCAACUCAGCUACUAUCGCACCAUCAUCAGACAUAACCAUAUGUGCGUUCAUUGCACGCAAAGCAAACAGUGAUUUUCGACUUAGGGCAUCAGCAACAACAUUAGCCUUUCCCGGAUGAUAGUCAAUCACAAGCUCGUAUUCUUUCAGCAAUUCUAACCAUCGACGCUGUCUCAAAUUCAGAUAUUUCUGAGUCAUCAAAUAUUUCAGGCUUUUGGGAUCGGAAUAAACAUGACAUCUUUCACCAAACAGAUAGUGACGCCAUAUUUUUAACGCAAAUACAAUAGCGGCCAAUUCCAGAUCAUGUGUCGGAUAGUUUUUUUCAUGCGGCUUUAACUGUCUCAAGGCAUAGGCUACAACUUUGCCUUCCUACAUCAAAACACAACCCAAACCAUUUAAAGAUGCAUCACUAUAGAUAACAAACUCUUUACCCGAUUCGGGUUGAACUAAGACUGGAGCUUCGGUCAAAAGAACUUUCAACUGAUCAAAGUUUUUCUGACACUUUUCUGACCACUCGAACUUAACGUCUUUUUGUAGUAGCUUUGUCAUCGGGGUCGCAAUCAUAGAAAACCCUUUCACGAACCGUCUAUAAUAACCAGCGAGCCCCAGAAAGCUUCGAACAUCAGAGACAUUUCUCGGAGGUUUCCAAUCAAGUAUAGCUGAAAUUUUACCUGGAUCAACUCGAAUACCCGAUGCUGACACAACAUGGCCCAGAAAACUAACUUCACGUAACCAGAACUCGCAUUUACUGAACUUUGCAUACAACUGUUUAUCUCGCAAAGUUUGUAACACAAGUCUCAGAUGUUCAGUAUGCUCGGUUUCAUCACGAGAGUAGAUCAAAAUAUCAUCUAUAAAUACUACCACAAAUCGAUCCAGAUACUGUCUAAAAAUCUGAUUCAUCAAAUCCAUGAAAACAGCAGGUGCAUUAGUAAGUCCAAAAGGCAUAACCAAGAACUCAUAAUGUCCGUACCUCGUUCGGAAAGCUGUCUUUGGCACAUCAGAGUCUUUAACUCGCAACUGAUAGUAGCCUGAUCUCAGAUCUAUCUUCGAAAACACAGUAGCCCCUUUCAACUGAUCGAACAAAUCAUCAAUCCGUGGUAACGGAUACUUAUUCUUUAUAGUCACCUUAUUGAGUUGCCGGUAAUCAAUGCACAUUCUCAUUGUUCUGUCUUUCUUUUUCACAAAUAGAACUGGUGCACCCCAAGGAGAGAAACUCGGUCGUGUAAAACCUUUAUCAGUCAACUCUUGCAACUGUACUUUCAAUUCUUUUAAUUCGGUCGGUACCAUACGGUACGGAGCUAUCGAAAUUGGAGUUGUCCCUGGUACUAACUCAAUACCAAACUCUACCUCUCGAAUAGGUGGCAAACCCGGUAAUUCUUCGGGAAACACGUCUGAAUACUUACACACUACUGGCACAGAUUCAAUCUUCUUUUCGGUCACUUUACUAUCAAGAAAAAAUGCAAGGUAAUCUUCACAACCUUUUCUCACAUACUUCUGAGCCGACAUCGAGGAUAUUAUUGCUGGUAAACCAUUCAGAUCAUUAGAUUCAAUCCGAAUAAUCUCAUCAUUCUGACACCGUAGAUCAAUAGUUUUCCGUUUGCAGUUUACUAUAGCAUUAUGCAGAGUUAACCAAUCCAUACCCAGAAUUAUAUCAAACUCGUCAAAUGGUAGCAACAUCAAAUCAGCCAGAAAACAUAAAUCUCGAAUCAUCAACGGACAAUUCUUGCACACUUUGUCAACCAAAACACACCGGCCCAAGAGGUUCAAUACUUUAAUUACAAACUCAGUAGACUCAACAGGCAAAGUCUUACUGAAUACUAAAGUCUCACACACAUAAGAAUGAGUCGAACCAAGAUCAAUCAAUGCAAUAACAUUAGUAUCAUAAAGAGUGAAAGUACCAGUAAUAACAUCUGGAGAAGAAGCCUCCUCCCGAGCACGGAUGGCAUAUGCUCUGGCAAGUGCACGAGCCUCAGAUCGAACUGCCAUGUCCUUUGUUCCUCUCUGACUGCCACUUACAUUACUCAAUUGCCUCGGCGGUCUACCUCGUACAGGUACUUUACUCGGUCUGGUAUUCUACACAGUGUUUUGCUCAGCUACCAUCGGACACUCUCGAAUGAAAUGAUCCUUUGAACCGCACUUAAAGCAAGACCGAUCAUGUAAUCUGCAAUCUCCAGGAUGCCAUUUCCCACAAUGCUUGUACUCUGAUCUAUUUUGUCGAACACUACCAACGCUAGCAACUGAAGUAGCUCGUGAACUCACAGGGGGUCGAUCUCGAUCAUACUUAGGAAACCCUGCAGUAGCUUUAGAUCGGCUAUGAUCCUCUCUGGAUUUCAUUGAGGUCGACUGGAAUGAUUUACUGAAUGAUCUUUUACGAGAAUCUCGAGCUUCAUAGCCAGCUUUCCUCUUCUCUUUACUGAGCUCCUUAACUUUACAAGGUCGUUCAACAAGUACUACGAACUCUUUUAUCUCAAGUAUACCAAAUAACAGUUUAAUAUCUUCAUCCAGCCCAUCUUCAAAUCUUUUACACAUGAUAGCUUCAGUCGAAAUACAUUCUCGAGCAUAUCUACUGAGUCUCACAAAUUUCCGCUCAUAUUCUAUCACUGUCAUACGACCCUGUUUCAAUUCAAGAAAUUCCUUAUGCUUCUGAUCAAUGAAUCUUUGGCUGAUGUAUUUCUUACAGAACUCAAUCUGAAAGAAUUCCCAGGUCACUCGCUCUUUCGGAACCACCGAUACUAGUGUAUUCCACCAGUGAUAUGCAGUGUCCCGUAGCAAAGAUAUGGCACAUUUCAAGUACUCAUCAGGGGUGCAAGAUAACUCAUCAAACACUCGAAUAGUAUUAUCAAGCCAGAAUUCAGCUUGCUCAGCAUCAUCAUCAUCAGUAGCUCUGAACUCUUCGACCCCGUGUUUUCAAAUUUAGUCAACAGGAGGCUUAAGUAAUCUCAUCGGAUCACUUACUUGAGGUAUAAUAGGAAUCGAAGGUGGAUUAGUCGGGGGUGGAGUUUGUUGUGCAACCGGAUUAGUUCGGACAUAUUGAGUAAACCAGUCAUUCAUCAUUUGGUAGAAGGCUUGUUUAGCCUCUCCCUCCUGGUUACUCGAGGUCGGUCGAGAAUCUACCAGCUCUGUCCCUUGUGUGGGAGCAGGCGCUAUACUCUCAACAUCAUCGACUACGGCUGGAUCGGGAUCCAUUACUAUACGAAAACACAUUUUUAGACAUCAGCAGUCAUCGCACUAUCUUGGUAUAAAAAUAUGGCAUGUAUAGCUAGACUCAUACAUGCUACAUUAGUCCAAGAAUCGAUUAAACCGUAGCUCUGAUACCAAUAAAAUGUAACACCCCUAACCCGUAUCCGUCGCCGAAUUAGGGUUACGAGGCAUUACUGAACAAAUACAACCAUUUUUAAAACCAACUGAUCACAAACAUGAAAAUUAAAUCAUUUUCACAUAGCUAUUUAUAAUUUACAAUCAACAUCUAACCAACAUCGUACUCAAACCUAUACAUGCCAUAAGAUCAAGUUCAAAUAUUUAACAAAAUACCAAAAGGGGUCGAAAGUGUGAUAGACUAUGCUGAUGAUCCCCGAGCUCGUAACGCAUCUCCAAAAUCUAUAAAAACAAAUGGACAAAAACAAUCAAAGUAAGCUUUUAUAGCUUAGUAAGUCUAUAGCAUAUCUAAAAUACAUAUAAAAGAAUCAUAUAAUUCUUAAAAUAAAUUUAUUGAAAUCACAAUUAUCAAUUAUAAUUACUAAUCGAACAUUGCUAUAUUAAGUCAUCUUGUUUAAAUCUAAAAGGAUGUGUAUUUAUCUAAUACACAUGAACGGACAAAUGUAUAUACAUUAUAUGCAUAUAAUCAAUUUACUAACAUAAUCAUUAAUUGCAUAUACGGAUUUCUAUAGUACUUAUUGUUCGCACUUAAUCGGAUCCAUUUAAAUAUAAUUGUUCAAAUACAUAUACCAAAAGCAUAAUAAUUUUAUACUUGAUCAACUAUAAGUGCCGAAUGCACAUAUACACCUAUACCCACCUAUGCCGAAUGCAUACAUAUAUACACAUAUAUAUAUAUCCAACAAUUUCGUGACAACCGAUAUAUAUAUACAUACUCACUAUUCACAAGGACUCGAACGAUUAUAUACUCAUCAACCACCUUAAAACAAUGUUCAUAAACUUAUCCAUUUCAUAUAAACAAAAGCAUAUAUAUUUAUACCCAAUGCAUAGAAUCACUUAAUUUAAACAGAUUCACUAGCACUUCACCUGAUAGGCUUAUAGUUUAAUUCAGUUCACCGGUACUUAGCCUACUAGGCUUGUAGCCUGAUUCAGUUCACCGGCACUUAGCCUGCUAGACGUAUAGUCCGAUUCAAUUCACCGGCAUUUAGCCUGCUAGACGUAUAGUCCGAUUCAAUUUAUCGGCACUUAGCCUGCUAGAUGUAUAGUCUGAAUAAUUUUACUGGUAAUAAAUCCGAUAGUCAUUUCUCCGUUGAAAUUGAAUUAUAUUCAAUUCUGCGUAACAAACAUGCACUUAAAACAUACUUGCAUAAUUCACAACAAUAAUUUCAGUCCAAAGAGCUGUAAUUCAUAUUCGAACUAUAUAUAUAAAUCCAUACAUAAAAAUUCAGCUCAAAAUUUAUAACCUAUAUCUUUGAACCACAUAGGUACAUGAAAUUCAAACAACAAAAUCCAGCUCAAUAACUUCAUGAUUCAACCUAACAAAUUUAUGUAUAUAACUUUUUAUCUAAUUUCAAUACAAUAACUUAUACAUGUACGUAUAUACAUAUUCGAAUCUAACAUAUACAUAUAUAAUUUCAUACUUAAAUAUAUUCAAGACUUAUUCAUGAGUAUACAUAUAUAUUACAACUCACAUGUACAUAUAUAUACACAUUCAUACCUUUAACCAAGUCCAAGGCUUUAUACAUGUAUAUGCUUAUAUAUAUAUAUAUUCGGACCUUAUGUUUACAUAUAUAUUAUAUAUAAAUACCUUUGAUUAAAAACAAGUAUUUAUACAUAUAUAUAUUUUUGAACAUGAUACAUAUAUAUAUUUAUAUCAUUCAUACUUAAACAAAAUUCAAUCCAUAUACUUUCAAUUUCAGCUCACCAAAUUACUAUAGAUAUACAUGCAUAUAUACUGAUUUAAUAACCUCAAAUUGCUAAUAGACUUACCUCGGAUAUCAGCGGACACGAUCGACUAUUCGAUUACUUUCGUUUUUCCCCGAUCCAAAUUCGUUUUCUUCGUUUUUUUAUCUUAAUUAGACCUAGAGAUAGCCGAACCUUGUUGUUCUCUUUUCUUUUCUUUUCUUUUUCUUUUCUAUAUUCGGCCAAGAUGAAGAACAUGGCAUUUAAAAUUUGUUAUAUUAAACAUAUAUUAGCCUUAUUUUUAAUUUACUAUAUUAACCUUUACAUAUAUAUAUAACAUAUAUAAUAAGGUUACAUUAGUCCUUUGCCACCCACUAACUUACAUAGUGGACUAAUUGCAUAGUAAAACCUCUAAAUUAUAAAGACAACAACAAUUAGGUGCUUUUAUAAUUAACCCCUAAAUUUUCAUUUUACGCGAUUAAGCCCUUUUAUUAAAUCGGACACUUAAACGACGAAAUUAAAACACGAAAAUUUCACACAAUCAAAUGCAUACAAAAUAAUAUUAAUAAUAUUUUUCUAAUUCAAAUUUGUGGUCCCGAAACCAGUAUUCUGAUUAGGGUCAAAAACCGGGUUGUUACAACUCUCCCCCCUUAGAGAUUUUCGUCCCCGAAAAUCUUACCGGUGAAUAGGUUUGGAUAACGCUCUUUCAUUGUAUCUUCUGACUCCCAAGUUGCUUCUUCAACCCCAUGUUUAUGCCACAACACUUUAACUAACGGAAUUUUCUUAUUUCGUAAUUCUUUGAUCUCACGAGCAAGAAUGCUAAUCGGUUCUUCCUCAUAUGUCAUAUCAGAGUUAAUUUCAAUCUCCGUCGGACUAAUCACAUGUGAAGGAUCAGAUCGGUAUCUACGGAGCAUCGAAACAUGGAAUACGUUAUGAAUCUUUUCUAACUCAGGCAGUAACAUCAAUCUAUAAGCAACCAAUCCAACUCGCUCUAUAAUCUCAUACGGUCCAAUUAAUCUCGGACACAAUUUGCCUUUACGACCAAAUCUGAGUAUUUUCUUCCACGGUGAGACUUUUAACUUGCUCGGUGUCAACGGUAAAUCGGAUACAAAAUCCAUCGUGACUCGAUCCCAUUUCCAUUGAGGUAUCAUGAUCGGCUGAAGCAAUCCAGAUGGUACCUGAUGCUCGGCUUUAACUUGCUGACAAAUUAAACAUUUCGAAACAAAGUCAGAAAUGUCUCGUUUCAUACCUUGCCACCAAUAGUGCUGUUUUAGAUCGUUAUACAUUUUCGUGCUACCCGGAUGAACAGAAAAUCGAAUACUAUGAGCUUCCUUCAAAAUCAUCUGAAUUAACUCUGAAUUUUUCGGAACACAUAAUCGGUUUCUAAAUCUCAAACAAUCCUCAGCAUCAACUAAAAACUCCGAAUCAAUAUUUAAGUCACAUUGAGCUCGUUUUGCAGUUAAAUCAUUAUCAACCUUUUGAGCUUCACAAAUCUGUUGUACAAAUAACAGUUUUGCUUUCAACUCAGCUACUAUCGCACCAUCAUCAGACAUAACCAUAUGUGCGUUCAUUGCACGCAAAGCAAACAGUGAUUUUCGACUUAGGGCAUCAGCAACAACAUUAGCCUUUCCCGGAUGAUAGUCAAUCACAAGCUCGUAAUCUUUCAGCAAUUCUAACCAUCGACGCUGUCUCAAAUUCAGAUAUUUCUGAGUCAUCAAAUAUUUCAGGCUUUUGGGAUCGGAAUAAACAUGACAUCUUUCGCCAAACAGAUAGUGACGCCAUAUUUUUAACGCAAAUACAAUAGCGGCCAAUUCCAGAUCAUGCGUCGGAUAGUUUUUUUCAUGCGGCUUUAACUGUCUCAAGGCAUAGGCUACAACUUUGCCUUCCUACAUCAAAACACAACCCAAACCAUUUAAAGAUGCAUCACUAUAGAUAACAAACUCUUUACCCGAUUCGGGUUGAACUAGGACUGGAGCUUCGGUCAAAAGAACUUUCAACUGAUCAAAGUUUUUCUGACACUUUUCUGACCACUCGAACUUAACGUCUUUUUGUAGUAGCUUUGUCAUCGGGGUCGCAAUCAUAGAAAACCCUUUCACGAACCGUCUAUAAUAACCAGCGAGCCCCAGAAAGCUUCGAACAUCAGAGACAUUUCUCGGAGGUUUCCAAUCAAGUAUAGCUGAAAUUUUACUUGGAUCAACCUGAAUACCCGAUGCUGACACAACAUGGCCCAGAAAACUAACUUCACGUAACCAGAACUCGAAUUUACUGAACUUUGCAUACAACUGUUUAUCUCGCAAAGUUUGUAACACAAGUCUCAGAUGUUCAGUAUGCUCGGUUUCAUCACGAGAGUAGAUCAAAAUAUCAUCUAUAAAUACUACCACAAACAGAUCCAGAUACUGUCUAAAAAUCUGAUUCAUCAAAUCCAUGAAAACAGCAGGUGCAUUAGUAAGUCCAAAAGGCAUAACCAAGAACUCAUAAUGUCCGUACCUCGUUCGGAAAGCAGUCUUUGGCACAUCAGAGUCUUUAACUCGCAACUGAUAGUAGCCUGAUCUCAGAUCUAUCUUCGAAAACACAGUAGCCCCUUUCAACUGAUCGAACAAAUCAUCAAUCCGUGGUAACGGAUACUUAUUCUUUAUAGUCACCUUAUUGAGUUGCCGGUAAUCAAUGCACAUUCUCAUUGUUCCGUCUUUCUUUUUCACAAAUAGAACUGGUGCACCCCAAGGAGAGAAACUCGGUCGUGCAAAACCUUUAUCAGUCAACUCUUGCAACUGUACUUUCAAUUCUUUUAAUUCAGUCGGUGCCAUACGGUACGGAGCUAUCGAAAUUGGAGUUGUCCCUGGUACUAACUCAAUACCAAACUCUACCUCUCGAAUAGGUGGCAAACCCGGUAAUUCUUCGGGAAACACGUCUGAAUACUUACACACUACUGGCACAGAUUCAAUCUUCUUUUCGAUCACUUUACUAUCAAGAAAAAAUGCAAGGUAAUCUUCACAACCUUUUCUCACAUACUUUUUUGCCGACAUCGAGGAUAUUAUUGCUGGUAAACCAUUCAGAUCAUUAGAUUCAAUCCGAAUAAUCUCAUCAUUCUGACACCGUAGAUCAAUAGUUUUCCGUUUGCAGUUUACUAUAGCAUCAUGCAGAGUUAACCAAUCCAUACCCAGAAUUAUAUCAAACUCGUCAAAUGGUAGCAACAUCAAAUCAGCCAGAAAACAUAAAUCUCGAAUCAUCAACGGACAAUUCUUGCAUAUUUUGUCAACCAAAACACACCGGCCCAGGGGGUUCAAUACUUUAAUUACAAACUCAGUAGACUCAACAGGCAAAGUCUUACUGAAUACUAAAGUCUCACACACAUAAGAAUGAGUCGAACCAAGAUCAAUCAAUGCAAUAACAUUAGUAUCAUAAAGAGGGAAAGUACCAGUAAUAACAUCUGGAGAAGAAGCCUCCUCUUGAGCACGGAUGGCAUAUGCUCUGGCAAGUGCACGAGCCUCAGAUCGAACUGCCAUGUCCUUUGUUCCUCUCUGACUGCCACUUACAUUACUCAAUUGCCUCGGUGGUCUACCUCGUACUGGCACUUUACUCGGUCUGGUAUUCUGCACAGUGUUUUGCUCAGCUACCAUCGGACACUCUCGAAUGAAAUGAUCCUUUGAACCGCACUUAAAGCAAGACCGAUCAUGUAAUCUGCAAUCUCCAGGAUGCCAUUUCCCACAAUACUUGUACUCUGAUCUAUUUUGUCGAACACUACCAACGCUAGCAACUGAAGUAGCUCGUGAACUCACAGGGGGUCGAUCUCGAUCAUACUUAGGAAACCCUGCAGUAGCUUUAGAUCGGCUAUGAUCCUCUCUGGAUUUCAUUGAGGUCGACUGGAAUGAUUUACUGAAUAAUCUUUUACGAGAAUCUCGAGCUUCAUAGCCAGCUUUCCUCUUCUCUUUCCCGAGCUCCUCAACUUUACAAGGUCGUUCAACAAGUACUACGAACUCUUUUAUCUCAAGUAUACCAAAUAACAGUUUAAUAUCUUCAUCCAGCCCAUCUUCAAAUCUUUUACACAUGAUAGCUUCAGUCGAAAUACAUUCUCGAGCAUAUCUACUGAGUCUCACAAAUUUCCGCUCAUAUUCUAUCACUGUCAUACGACCCUGUUUCAAUUUAAGAAAUUACUUACGCUUCUGAUCAAUGAAUCUUUGGCUGAUGUAUUUCUUACAGAACUCAAUCUGAAAGAAUUCCCAGGUCACUCGCUCUUUCGGAACCACCGAUACUAGUGUAUUCCACCAGUGAUAUGCAGUGUCCCGUGGCAAAGAUAUGGCACAUUUCAAGUACUCAUCAGGGGUGCAAGAUAACUCAUCAAACACUCGAAUAGUAUUAUCAAGCCAGAAUUCAUCUCGCUCAGCAUCAUCAUCAUCAGUAGCUCUGAACUCUUCGACCCCGUGUUUUUGAAUUUUGUCAAUAGGAGGCUUAAGUAAUCUCAUCGGAUCACUUACUUGAGGUAUAACAGGAAUCGAAGGUGGAUUAGUCGGGGGUGGAGUUUGUUGUGCAACCGGAUUAGUUCGGACAUAUUGAGUAAACCAGUCAUUCAUCAUUUGGUAGAAGGCUUGUUUAGCCUCUCCCUCCUGGUUACUCGAGGUCGGUCGAGAAUCUACCGGCUCUGUCCCUUGUGUGGGAGCAGGCGCUAUACCCUCAACAUCAUCGACUACGGCUCGAUCGGGAUCCAUUACUAUACGAAAACACAUUUUUAGACAUCAGCAGUCAUCACACUAUCUUGGUAUAAAAAUAUGGCAUGUAUAGCUAGACUCAUACAUGCUACAUUAGUCCAAGAAUCGAUUAAACCGUAGCUCUGAUACCAAUAAAAUGUAACACCCCUAACCCGUAUCCGUCGCCGAAUUAGGGUUACGAGGCAUUACUGAACAAAUACAACCAUUUUUAAAACCAACUGAUCACAAACAUGAAAAUUAAAUCAUUUUCACAUAGCUAUUUAUAAUUUACAAUCAACAUCUAACCAACAUCGUACUCAAACCUAUACAUGCCAUAAGAUCAAGUUCAAAUAUUUAACAAAAUACCAAAAGGGGUCAAAAGUGUGAUAGACUAUGCUGAUGAUCCCCGAGCUCGUAACGCGUCUCCAAAAUCUAUAAAAACAAAUGGACAAAAACAAUCAAAGUAAGCUUUUAUAGCUUAGUAAGUCUAUAGCAUAUCUAAAAUACAUAUAAAAGAAUCAUAUAAUUCUUAAAAUAAAUUUAUUGAAAUCACAAUUAUCAAUUAUAAUUACUAAUCGAACAUUGCUAUAUUAAGUCAUCUUGUUUAAAUCUAAAAGGAUGUGUAUUUAUCUAAUACACAUGAACGGACAAAUGUAUAUACAUUAUAUGCAUAUAAUCAAUUUACUAACAUAAUCAUUAAUUGCAUAUACGGAUUUCUAUAGUACUUAUUGUUCGCACUUCAUCGGAUCCAUUUAAAUAUAAUUGUUCAAAUACAUAUACCAAAAGCAUAAUAAUUUUAUACUUGAUCAACUAUAAGUGCCGAAUGCACAUAUACACCUAUACCCACCUAUGCCGAAUGCAUACAUAUAUACACAUAUAUAUAUAUCCAACAAUUUCAUGACAACCGAUAUAUAUAUACAUACUCACUAUUCACAAGGACUCGAACGAUUAUAUACUCAUCAACCACCUUAAAACAAUGUUCAUAAACUUAUCCAUUUCAUAUAAACAAAAGCAUAUAUAUUUAUACCCAAUGCAUAGAAUCACUUAAUUUAAACAGAUUCACUGGCACUUCACCUGAUAGGCUUAUAGUUUAAUUCAGUUCACCGGCACUUAGCCUACUAGGCUUGUAGCCUGAUUCAGUUCACCGGCACUUAGCCUGCUAGACGUAUAGUCCGAUUCAAUUCACCGGCAUUUAGCCUGCUAGACGUAUAGUCCGAUUCAAUUUACCGGCACUUAGCCUGCUAGAUGUAUAGUCUGAAUAAUUUUACUGGUAAUAAAUCCGAUAGUCAUUUCUCCGUUGAAAUUGAAUUAUAUUCAAUUCUGCGUAACAAACAUGCACUUAAAACAUACUUGCAUAAUUCACAACAAUAAUUUCAGUCCAAAGAGCUGUAAUUCAUAUUCGAACUAUAUAUAUAUAAAUCCAUACAUAAAAAUUCAGCUCAAAAUUUAUAACCUAUAUCUUUGAACCACAUAGGUACAUGAAAUUCAAACAACAAAAUCCAGCUCAAUAACUUCAUGAUUCAACCUAACAAAUUUAUGUAUAUAACUUUUUAUCUAAUUUCAAUACAAUAACUUAUACAUGUACGUAUAUACAUAUUUGAAUCUAACAUAUACAUAUAUAAUUUCAUACUUAAAUAUAUUCAAGACUUAUUCAUGAGUAUACAUAUAUAUUACAACUCACAUGUACAUAUAUAUACACAUUCAUACCUUUAACCAAGUCCAAGGCUUUAUACAUGUAUAUGCUUAUAUAUAUAUAUAUUCGGACCUUAUGUUUACAUAUAUAUUAUAUAUAAAUACCUUUGAUUAAAAACAAGUAUUUAUACAUAUAUAUAUUUUCGAACAUGAUACAUACAUAUAUUUAUAUCAUUCAUACUUAAACAAAAUUCAAUCCAUAUACUUUCAAUUUCAGCUCACCAAAUUACUAUAGAUAUACAUGCAUAUAUACUGAUUUAAUAACCUCAAAUUGCUAAUAGACUUACCUCGGAUAUCAGCGGACACGAUCGACUAUUCGAUUACUUUCGUUUUUCCCCGAUCCAAAUUCGUUUUCUUCGUUUUUUUAUCUUAAUUAGACCUAGAGAUAGCCGAACCUUGUUGUUCUCUUUUCUUUUCUUUUCUUUUUCUUUUCUAUAUUCGGCCAAGAUGAAGAACAUGGCAUUUAAAAUUUGUUAUAUUAAACAUAUAUUAGCCUUAUUUUUAAUUUACUAUAUUAACCUUUACAUAUAUAUAACAUAUAUAAUAAGGUUACAUUAGUCCUUUGCCACCCACUAACUUACAUAGUGGACUAAUUGCAUAGUAAAACCUCUAAAUUAUAAAGACAACAACAAUUAGGUGCUUUUAUAAUUAACCCCUAAAUUUUCAUUUUACGCGAUUAAGCCCUUUUAUUAAAUCGGACACUUAAACAACGAAAUUAAAACACGAAAAUUUCACACAAUCAAAUGCAUACAAAAUAAUAUUAAUAAUAUUUUUCUAAUUCAAAUUUGUGGUCCCGAAACCAGUAUUCUGAUUAGGGUCAAAAACUGGGUUGUUACAACUCUCCCCCCUUAGGGAUUUUCGUCCCCGAAAAUCUUACCGGUGAAUAGGUUUGGAUAACGCUCUUUCAUUGUAUCUUCUGACUCCCAAGUUGCUUCUUCAACCCCAUGUUUAUGCCACAACACUUUAACUAACGGAAUUUUCUUAUUUCGUAAUUCUUUGAUCUCACGAGCCAGAAUGCUAAUCGGUUCUUCCUCAUAUGUCAUAUCAGAGUUAAUUUCAAUCUCCGUCGGACUAAUCACAUGUGAAGGAUCAGAUCGGUAUCCACAGAGCAUUGAAACAUGGAAUACGUUAUGAAUCUUUUCUAACUCAGGCAGUAACAUCAAUCUAUAACCAACCGAUCCAACUCGCUCUAUAAUCUCAUACGGUCCAAUGAAUCUCGGACUCAAUUUGCCUUUACGACCAAAUCUGAGUAUUUUCUUCCACGGUGAGACUUUUAAAAACACUUUAUCCCCGAUCUGAAAUUCUAUAUCCUUUCUUUUCAAAUCCGCAUAAGAUUUCUGACGAUCCGGUGCUGAUUUCAGACUGUCCCGAAUCACUUUCACUUUCUGUUCGGUCUCUUUAAUCAAAUCAACCCCGUGUAUCUUAUUUUCACUGAGCUCAGUCCAAUACAGUGGUGUACGACAUUUACGACCGUACAAAGCCUCAUAAGGUGCCAUUUUGAUACUAGAUUGAAAGCUAUUAUUAUAAGCAAAUUCAAUCAAAGGUAAGUAUCGUUCCCACGUACCUUCAAACUCGAGAAUGCAACAUCUCAACAUAUCCUCAAGUAUCUGAAUGAUUCGUUCAGAUUGACCAUCUGUCUGCGGAUGGAAAGCUGUGCUAAAAUGUAGUUUCGUACCUAAAGCUGUGCUAAAAUGCACACAAAAUAAACACACAAAAUAAUAUUAAUAAUAUUUUUCUAAUUCGGAUUUGUGGUCCCGAAACCACUAUUCCGAUUAGGGUCAAAAACCGGGUUGUUACAAUUCUGCUUCUUCUGCAUCAUCAUCUUUGGUAGCUCGAAAUUCUUCAGCCCCUUACUUCCUAAUCUUAUCAACAGGUGGUCUCUCACUGAUGACUAUACCUGCAGCUAGGGAAACUACAUGAGGAACCUGUGAAUCCUGAAGGGGUGGAGGUCUUACACCCGGAUUCAUACGAACGAACUCGGCAAACCAAUCAUUCAUGGCUUGGAAGAAGGCUUCUCUAGCUCCUCCUCCCUGUCUAACUGAUGCAGGUCUUUCACUAACGUUAACAUCUAGUGGCACCGUCCUUUCUGCGGAAGUAGGCGCAUUACUCUCUACUUCAUCUGCACCAGCUCGUUCAGGAUCCGUAACUAUAAAAUAAAAUAUUUUAAAAUCGUCAAGAGUCGUCACACUAUCAAAAUAUAUAAGUAUGGCAUGUAUAGGUAGACUUUUAUUCAUACUGCAUAUUUCUGAGAACCGAUUAAACCUGCUCUGAUACCAACAAAUGUAACACCCCUUACCCAAGACCAUUUUCGGAGUCGAGCACGAGGCAUUACUUAUCUUAUCUUACUAACUCGAAGCAUAAAAACUUAUUUUAAAAAUUAAUUUCACUAUUUACAGCAAUCUGUCCAAUCGAGCAGCAGUUACUAAAUUAAUAAUAACUCGAGCUACGGAACUUGAAAUUUAACUUCGUAAAUUUUCACUGAAACUAGACUCAUAUAUCUUCCUACCAUAAAGUUUUUAGGAUUUUUUGUUUAGCCAACUAGUACAGUUUAUUAGUCAAAUUCUCCCCUGUUUCACCAAUCGAUUGCCUUGACCUCUUAUCACUAAAAAUAAAAUUUCUCAAUGUGGGAUUUUCGUAUAGUGCUACUGCUUGCUUCUACAAAAAAUAGACUCAAUAAGGAAUCUAUAAAUAUAAACUACAGCUCCUAAAUAUUUUUUUAAAAAUUUUAAUGAUUUUCUAAACUCAAAAUAGGGGUCACCAAAAACUGUUCUAACCCUGUCUCACCAAAAUUCACAUAUCUUAAAAUAUAAAAUUCAUUUUGCUACACCGUUAUUUUUAUCUGAAAAUAGACUCAACAAGAUUUAAAUUCAUAUAUCAUUCACUCUUUAAUUCAUUUUAUACUAUCCUAGGUGAUAUUUCAAAGUCACGUCGUUGUUGCUGCCUGAAUUCUGUUUCUUUGCAAAAUUGUACCAUUUUAUGAUUUCCAUGCAUAGUUUAUCACUUACACUCUUAUAACAACAAACACUUCCAUACUUCACCAUUUUAGCAACCAUUCAUCAUCAACUACUUACAUAUCAUUCUUUAUCAAGAUCAUAAAUACAAACAUUUAAAAUAACUAAAUCCCUAUACAUUCCAUACUCAACAUGGUUCAACAUAAAAAUACCGAGUUGCUGUGGCUGAUAGUGUGGACGAUCUCCGACUUCUUUAGGAUCCUUGAAGUAACCUUGCAAUACUAUAAGAGAAAGAGAAAUAAAAGACGUAAGCAUAAAGCUUAGUAAGUUUACUAGCAAAUAAAUAACAAUAUUUAACUCAGAUAAUUAAACUCAAGUGUCUAUAUCUCUAGUUUACUCUUUAGUUAAUCCCAUUCUAGUUCUCUUGCUUGUUUACUUAGUAUACUUGUGUGCAUAACUUAAUCUUCUCUUGCUGUAUCGUUGAAUAUCAAUUGAUAAUAUAAUAAGUUCUUAACUCUUAUAACUUACCUGAACUUGCCAUUUAUGUUUUUAACUGAACUUUCCUGAACAUGAUUCGUUAUUUAGCCCGUUGAGCUACAUUGGAACAAUAAGGAUACUCGGGUCUCUUCUGAUAAUAACAUGCCAAAGCCAUGUCCCAGACAUGGUCUUACAUGGGAUGUACUCAUGUCGGUGCCCAUUCCAUGUCCCAGACAUGGUCUUACGGGGGACCUCUCAUCUCGGUGCCAAUGUCAUGUCUCAGACAUGGUCUUACAUGGGACCUCUCAUCUCGGUGCCAACACCAUGUCCCAGACAUUGUCUUACAUGGGACCUCUCAUUUCGGUGCCAACGCCAUGUCCCAGACAUGGUCUUACAUGGGACCUCUUUAUCCAAAUGUCAUGACAUUCGUAUCCAGUAUUAUCCUUAUGUAUCAACGGGACUUUUUAAUUUUAAUUCUCUAUCAUUUCAUGCUUGGAUAAUCAUCAAAUAAAUUCAUGAAAUAAAUUCAUAGUUGCUGGAAAAUAGCAGCAUUAAUAAAAAUUAUUGAAAUAUUUCAUUUAUUUACCGUAAACUUACCUUGGUACCGAAUAUAGCCCAAUUCACCAACUUAGUCUUCAACUUUAUUCUUUCCUUUGUCUAACCUCGAGUUUCAUUCUUCUUGAUCUAAAAUAGAAAAUUUAACUUAUUUAAUACUCACAUUCAUCAAAACAGCCCUCGACUCUAACUUUUCAAAAUUAUGAUUUUGCCCCUAAACUUUUACAUAAUUACAUUUUUCCCCAAGGCUCGAAAAUUCAACUUCAUCUCAUAUUCUUAUGUUUUAUGGCAUGCUGAAUAUUUUUCUCUUCUAUGACAAUAUCAAAUUCUCACUCUAACACUUACUUAUGUACAUUAGAGAUUUUUACCGAUUAUGUCAACUUACUCGUUUUUGCUUAAAAUCGGCUAACAAAAGUUGUUUAACAUAAUUUAUAGCUUCAUAUUCUAUCAUAAAACAUCAAAAUAAACACUUUUCACCUAUGGGUAUUUUUCCAAAUAUAAACCCUAGGUUAAAUUAUUGCUAGAAUAAGCUAAAUUAAGUUACCGGGACUCCAAAAACGUAAGGAACAUUAAAAACGGGGCUUGGGAUCACUUACUAUGGAGCUUGGAAGCUUGAAAACCCUAAAUAUGGCUUACCCCCUUGCUGAUUUCGUCCAAAUGAAGAAGAUGAGCAUAAUUUGUCAUCUUUUUCCCUUUUAAUUCAUUUUAAUUACUAGAUUACCAAAUUGCCCCUAACUUAAAAAUUUCCUAUUUCACUUAUCUCAUGUCCAUUUUUGUCUAAAAACUUAACCAAUGGUCUAAUUACCAUAUAAAGACCUCCAAUUUAAAGUUUCAUAACAAUUGGACACCUCUAACAUGUAGAACUCAACUUUUGCACUUUUUGCAAUUUAGUACUUUUGACUAAAUUGAGUGCCCAAACUUCAAAAUUUUCGAAUAAAAUUUUCAUGAAAUCAUUUUGUGAAAUCAUAGACCAUAAAAAUAUAAGAAAAAUAAAAUUUUCCUCAUCGGAUUUGUGAUCCCGAAACCACUGUUCCGAUAAUCUUAAAUUUGGGCCAUUACAUGAUCACCUUUUUACUAGCUCAUACAUCUCCUACAUCAGACCUUACAUGCAUGCUUACCAAACUUUAUUCUUUUUAACAAAACUUUAUACAUAUCAUCGUAGCACAUCUUUCAUCUUUACUAAACUCAUAUUUUUACCAAUUUCUGUAGACAUCAUCAUCAUCAUCCUAUAUAUAUGCUUCUUGUUUGAACAGUUCAUAUCAAAGAGUCAAGAUAGAGACCCACUUGACACUCACCUACUGCAGUUCAAAGCUCUAAACUUAACCAUCCUUCUCAAACCAGCAGUAAAAACUGCUUAUAGAACAUAGAAUCACCAUUAAAAACCCAUUUACAUACAAAUUACUAUCAUCUUAAUCACUUUUCCACUGUUAAUUUAUAAAUAAGUGUUAAGUAGUAAAUAAAUAAAAAAAUUAACUAAGUUUUCAAAAAAAAAGUCACUGUGACGAGAAGAAUGUUAAAAUUAAUUGGUGUUUGUUAACUCAUAUGUUUUUCUAAAAAUGGGUUAAGUUUUCUUCUGAAAUAAACAAAUGUUUUAAAAUGAUUGUUUUAUAAACUCCGAUCGUACUAUCCCAUCUUGGUGGCUGAUGUAAUAUCCCAAAUUCAGGUCUAACAUCUAAGUCGGGUUGGAUAGGUUACAAUAUAUAUAGAAAGAUUGAUAAAUAAUGCAAACUUGAAUACAAGCAAAGAAAGAAAUCAAUCAAUGUGAAUGACUAACAAGUUUAAAAUCAUAUAUUUGCAUUAUAUUUUGUAAAGCACAAGAUUGUCAUGGAAUUAGACAAUUUGUUUUGAUAAUGGUUAUAUUUUAUAUAGAUUUACUUUUAUGCACUUUCAUAUUGAGUUGAUCAAAAGUUUUGAAACUUUAUAGAAAAUUUGAAUGAAAGAGCAUAUUGAUAUAUAUGCUAUCUUGAGUGUUGAAUUAAGCAUUCUUUAGUAAAAGAGUGUACAUUUCGCACAUGGUAGGUGUGUUGGUUUCUUAUAUAUUAAUUAAGCACAAAUUAAAGAAAAAUAAUAUAUAUCACCAUAGUGUUGUAAUAUUUUGUAUAAUUUGUGAAAUUAUACAAGCAAAUAAGUUUACCUAUCUUGUUAAAUAAAACUCAUUAAGUUGGUUCUUAAUCUUGAAGAAUUAAAUAGGUUGGCUUCUUUAUUCAUUUUAUCCAACUACAAGUUAGAUUAAAGUUGUGGAAAUAGAAUGGUUGAAAAUUUGUGUUAAUGAGAAUUAGAGUUAUGGCCACAACUGAUGCCAACUAUUUCCUAAAAACAGGGAAUGAUGUCCAAAAACAUGCUGUAAAAUAAAAAUUUGGACAUGUUAGAAUAUGAAUUUAUUAUAUUAUAGUUUCAAUGUAAUACCCUUAUCCCAUCUCUGUUGCCGGAUUAGGAUUUCAGAGUAUUACUGAGAAAAAUAGAACAUUUAACUUUCCAACAGAAACAAUUGUACAAUUAAAUACCAACAUAUAACAAUUGAAUCUAAUCAUGGCAAAUAUUACACUUUUGGACCUUGAAUCGAGCCUAUGGGGCCCUAGAAACAGUUUAGGAACAAUCUGGGAUCAAAUCAAAACAAAUCAGAACAUUUUGAAAAAACAUAAAAAUUUAGGAAUACAGAGGUCACAGGCCAUAUGGCCAAGUCGUGUGACAUAGCCUAGAUUGUGUAAACAUCCGAAGUCAGGACACAUAGCUGUGUCCCAGCCUGUGUGUCUACUCAUGUGUAUAUUUGAAAUAGGGUCACACAGUCGUGUUGCAGACUGCCAAACGUGUGUGUAUUCAAAGUGAGGUCGCAAGACCAUGUGGCCGACCGUGCCACAAACUGUUUUGAGACACAAGGUCAUGUCUCAGACCGUGUAAAACAUGCACUUAAAAUAAUAAAUACACACGACCGUAUCUAGUGACUAUGUGUGGCACAUGGUCGUGUGGUAGCUUGUGUCUCAGGUCGUGUGCUCCAUUUUUAACCCCUAAAUCAAGCCAAUCAAGCAUCAUUUCUUAUACAACAAGACAUACCAUAUCUAACUAAUUUUACAUGGUUAAAAACACAUUCAAAUCAACAAAUACAUGCCAAAAUUUCGUUCAUCCUAUGUCUAACCAAUAUGCCAUCAAAAGGCACCUCAAUCCAUACAUCCAUUCAACUCAAGAACAAAGUUACAAUAAAUGAACAAGUUUUAUCAUUAGUUAACCAUUCAUGCCUAAAACCACUAAUCUAAUUGACCAAAAUAUGGGCAUACUCAACAAGCAACCAUUUCAAAACAUCAUCAUCAAAUCUUUAUAUACCAUUUAUGAUCAACUUAAUUAUAUUCAACACAAGUACACAUCCAAAAUCAAGCACAUCACUAAGUAUGCCAAAAUAACUUAACUAUUUACAUAUCAACAAUAAGACACCAUAUCCCAAAAUGAAAUAAAAAAGCUACCAAGAUGGUUGGAUAGUGUGUGCUCCAAAACAAUUCAUCCGGUUAGUCCACAAAACGCCAAAUCAACCAAUAUAGAUAAACAAAAAGGUAAGUUCUAAUUCUUGAUAUUCAAAUGCAAGAUCACACCACAUUAGUAUAUAUUUAUUUACAUCAUAAAUGAUACCUUCCAAAAUUCAUAACCAAUUCAUCAUCCACAAUUUCUCAAUACAACCAUUAAUAUUUAUAAACAAGAACUUCAUAGUAACAUUUAUCAUUUAGUAGUAAUAUAAUUAUCCAACAAAAUUGAACAAAUAAAUGCGUUUUAAGUCAUUUGAUACAUAGCCUGCUGAACUAUAGUAACUUGACUCGGAUACUCAUGAUACUACAUCACACCAAAGGUAUCAAUGAUGCAUAACAGAGGCACCGAAGUGCAGACAAAUGCAUGAAUGUGCAAUCAGAGGCACCGAAGUGAAAACAGAUGCACCAAAGUACAAACCCGUACGAGUGCGCAUUAAAACCCUAUUGGCAUGCUAAUCGUAUCCUAAUUGUUUACUACGUUCAACUGGGCAUUAUACUUAAAAUCAUAAUAUCAAUAAAUCCAUCAUUUAGAGGCACUUCUUAUUUCCGUACACAUACUAUAAAUAUGUAACUUUCAUUUCAAUAAUAUGCAAUAACAAUAAUUACCAUCAUCAAACAUUCAUUUUCUAUUUGUACUUAAUUGCAAAAUUUAAUAAUAUAUAAGUAACUCAUGAAAUUUCACAUAUAUACCAUUAACUAGAAAACAAUAAUAUAAUCAUAAAGUGACACACAUAUACAUAUUAUUACACUAUGAACUUACCUAAAAUCUACUUUCGAUUAAUACACAGGGACUACUCCGCUAUUUUUUCCCUUUUCUCGGUUAUUGUCUUUUUGACUCGGUUCUUGAUCUAUAUAGUAAUUAAAUUCAAUUUAUGAAAUUCACAUACAUUUAAAACUCAAUUCAAUGCAUGAUACCCUUAUGUUUUCAUUAUUUUCACAUUUUUCUUAAACUUUUACAUUUCUCACAAUUUAGUCCCUACAAAAUUUAACAAAAUUUUACAAUUUUCCAUGUUAGUUGAACUUCUUUCGAAACUAGUACAAUCCCUAAUUAUUCACAAUUCACAAAAUUUCUAUGCAAAUUUUAAUAAUUCACACAUUGAUCAUUAAACUCAAAAUUAACACAAAUUUUUUUACAAAAAUAUCCUAAUCAACAUUCAAAUAUGUACAACUACCAUUAAAAAUCAUGAACACCAAAAUUCCAUUACUAACCAAUCCCUAAAACUUUAACAUUUUUAUAAUUCCAUCCUCGGGUUUAAUAGUUUAAGUUACAACGAGUUCAAAAACGUAAAAAUUAUUAAAAACAGGUAAGAGAAACACUUACAUGCACCAAUUUGCUAACCGAAACUUCAAGCUCCAAAAAUGGAGUUUUUUUUUUCUUUUUCGGUGGGAGAGAGUUGAGAAGAUGAUGAUACCAUUUUUUUCUUUUGUUUCUUUUCUUUAAUCAAACUAAUUACUAAAUUAUCCUUUUAAUCUAAACUAAAUUAUUAACAUAGCAUGUCCGUAAUUAUCCAUUAACUAACCAUAAGGUUUAUCUAUCAACCAAGUCCAUUACUUUAGUUUUUCUUUAAAAAUCAAGCACAUUUAACAAAUAGAAGCCACUUUAGCAUCUUUUACAAUUUAGACCUUUUUACUAAAUUAACUAAACAGACAUUAAAAUUUCUUAGCCAAAUUUUAUUAUGACUCCAAUAUAACUCUAUAAGCAUAAAAUAAACAUAAAAUACUAACUCAUUUGUCGAAAUUGUGGUCCUGAAACCACCUUUUUUGAUACCACUGAAAAAUGAGAUAUUACAUUAAAUCUCUAAUUUAUGAUAAUGAAUGUGAGAGAAUAAUUUUCUUUGUUUAGAAAUACUAAUCAUUUUCUUUGUUUAGUAAUACUACAACUAGAAUGUGUUUCGACCCUAUUAUUAGAAACUAAUAAUGGAAACCCAACUUUUAAUUAGAAACCUCUAAUUUUAAAGUUUAAUAGGUAACACCCCGAAUUUUGGCCCUAGAAGAAAUAUGUUUUGAACAAGGGAACAGUUAGGAGACUGCACAUAAAUAUUUAGUUGUGCAAGGAAGUGACAUAAAUGAAUGUCUACUUCAGUGGUUGAGUGAUUUAGGAGUGUUUGGAACUGUCUGAGAAGUCAGGGAUUCAAGCAUUGCUUAUGCAAAAUUUUUAUUUUAAGUGAAUAAAAUCAUUGGAUCUAGAUAGUAAGUUCUUAAAUUAUUGUGGUUAAAAUAUGAUGCAAAAGAGUUGUUGGUCUAGUGGUAAGGGGUGUGUGGAGUGCACAUAGGGCCUAAGGUUCGAGUGGUGGCGCAUCAGAAAGGAAAUAUUUAUUUUGCUACUUGAGCUGUUUAGGUAGUGGAGUUGGACUGAAACACAACUAAGGGGAGUUUGCAUAGAAUUUGAAUGGAGUUGUUGGGGGAGUUGAGGAGAAACCGGUAGAAUAAUUUAAGGAGGGAUAAGGGGAGAGAUUUUAGGAGAAAAUCAAGGGAAGUGAGGGGAGUGAAGAAGUGUGCCGAAAGUGGACUUUGAUACUCAGGAAAUUUGGCCAGAAGGGAUACUGCUCAUUUUGGUAUACUUUUCAUUUCGGUUUUGUGUAGUGUUUCUCUCUCUUUUUGCUUUUUGGUGCCGAAUUUUUGCUAAGAUUUCGAGUACCACUCGGGUUUUUCUUUUGCUGCUUUUUUCUUUUAUCAUUUCUUUUGUUUUGGCCGAAUUUCUUUUUAGUUCCCUCCUUUGUCGAAUUCUUUUCUCUCUUCUCUUUGUUGCUUCUUUUCAUUUCUCUAUUUUUCCAAACCUUGACCGAACAGUGUUGAAGUAGUUCUGUGUUCCAUCUUUUGUCUAAAAUGCUCUUCUUCCUCUACUCCUUUUGAUCAACUAUUUGUCGAAUAUUGCCUUCUCUCCCCUUUUAUCUCUUUAAAUUUAUUUUCGGCUUGACAACAAUUCUCUAACAGUUCAAAUUUCUUGAGGAGUGAAAAAGUAUCGCAUAAUAUUAAAGUCAUCGAAACCUUUCUCUCAUCACUCGAUCAAAGGUAAGUAUGUAGGCUAGCAUUCUAAAGUGUAGGCUGAGUGCUUUCUAUGGUUUCAUAAGUUAUUAUGUUUGGAUUUAAACCACAUGAAUAAACAAUCCUAUUUAAUAAAAUCCGUUUGUAAUGCAGAUAUCCAUCAAAGAGAUUGUAGUCAACCUUCGUCAGUGAUAUAAGUAGGCUAAGUCACAUUUGACAAUCGAGGCUUUGGUGCUCGUGGAUCUUAGAGUGUUUUCACAAUCAGGUGUGUAAACACCCCACUGUAACCGUAGAACGACAAAAAGCUAAAAGGCCAAAAAUACGGUGUUUGAGACCACACAGGCGUGCGAUCUCUCAUGUGGUAAGCCCAACCCACAAAUCAUGGCCGAUAGACUGUAGAGGCCUCCAUGAACAUUUCCAUGGGCUUAGGCCGUAAUGGGCCACGUUGGGCCGAAAUGGGUCGUGUGGGUUCAAUAGGCUCGUGGGCACCAUACAGAUGAGAACCACGAUUUGUGAAAAAUACUGGACUGGGCUAUGAAGAUCUCAUAGCCGUGGAAAAAUCUGGGCUGAACAGGCCGCACAAGCGUGCGGGCCUACUUGGGCCGAGUAAUGGGCCUUAGGCCCAUUUGUACCAUUAUGACCAUUUAGGUUACCUGAGUCGCUCGAGGUAACUACGGACCUUUCGAGAGGUCGAUAUCUGCACCAAGACCCAAAAUAGGUAAAAUGAUCGAAAUACCCCUAUAGAGUAAAAUGACCGAAAUACCCCCAAAGGAUAAAAUGAUUGAAAUACCCCUAUAAGGUAAAACGAUCGAAAUACCCCCGUAGGAUAAAAUAACUAUUAUACCCCUAGAAGAUGAAAUGACUGUUAUGGCCUUAUGCUAUGUAUGACUGUUUUGCUCUAUGAUAUGUAUGACUAUGGUUGAGCAUGACAUUUUUCAUACACGUAUGAUAUUAUGUCAUGAUAUAUUGCAUGGGGAUGGAUUGUUAUAUUUGGAGGAAGUGUACUGUACUGACAAGGUUGCACGGGUCGCCCAAGACGACUGUGGACCUACUGAUGGCUAUAUGCCAUUUAUUUUACUGGCAGCUUUGCUGCAAUACUGUUUAAUGCUGCAACUGGUGCUAAUCUUGGUGUGUUUGGAUGGAUGGGUAGAUUUUAUCCCCCAUAUGGUGUGUUUGGCGGAACUGUAACACCCUUAACCUGAAUCCAUUCUGACAUUGUCUCACAAAAUUUAUUAUAUCUCAUAGUUUACAAUUUUAUUACUUACACCAUUUCUUCCAUGAGAAACUAGACUCAAUAAGUUUUAAUUCUAUAUUUUAUUCAUACUCUAAUUCGAUUUUCAUAAUUUAUGGUGAUUUUUCAAAGUGAGCCUACUGUUGUUGUCCAAAACUAUUUUAGUACAAGAUGUUUAUUACCAUGUUUAUAACACCCUUAUUUUCUUUCUCUACACUAUUUCUCAUCCCUUUCUCUUAUUUUCUCUUCACUUACAUAUUAAGAACAUAGGACCAUAUAUACAAAAAAACUUUACACUAACAUCAUUUCCAUACUUUUUCAAUAAUAUCAAACUUAAAAAUAUACUAAAAUCUUGAUGUACUUACCUUGUCAUAUUGAUUUUAAUCUUUAACUUGAUUUUCUCUCUCCUCCAGCUUCUAUUUCUUGAAUCUAACUUGAUAUUAUAGCUCCCCAUAGUCUCCUUGUAAUCUUUCUCUCUUGAUGGAUAUGGAAAUUCUUUUGAUUUCUAGAUGAAAAUAGUGAAUUUUUGGUGAAAGGACUAAAUUGUAAAGAAAGCAAAACUUUCUUUCUUCUCUUCUCCUCUUAACGUGAAUUGCAUGGAAAAGAUGGUGGGUUGGUUCCUUUUCAUCUUUCUUUCCACAUAUAUAUACUAAAUAAUAAAAUAAUAAAAUAUCAUUUAAAAAUCAAAUUAAAAUACUAAUAAACUAAUAUUUAUUUGUUUAUUUAAUCUAAAAUAUCUCCAACAUCAUCAUUAUCUUCUAGAUUUCUCUCUCUUCUAAUUGACCAUUUUGCCCUUCAUGAUAUUUUAAAAUUCCAUCCUUGAGUCAUCACUUAAUUUCGUAAAAUUUCAAUUUAGUCCCUCAAAAUUCCUCACCUUUUUUCAAUUUAGUCCUAAUACAUCCAUUUUCCUUAGUUUCUAGAUCAUUCCACCCUUAAAAUAUUUACACCAUUGGUCCUUCAAUUUUUUCAUAUUUACACUUUAACCCCUCAAUUUUUGAGUAUUUACUCUUGGGCAACAAAAUUUUUACGAUUUAAUCCUUUCUUGAGGUAAUAUGUCAUAAUAUACUUCCCAAUGUUGACAUAACUCCAAAAUUCCCUUUUUUGUCGCUUUAUUUCCUUAUUUUUUUAUAUCAAAGAUAAUAUCUUACUGUAAAAAUUUUUUUGGGGGGUAUUACAUUUCUCUCCCCCUCAAAAUAAAUUUCGUCCUCGAAAUUUCCUUAUUUUCUUUUGAUCAUGAACUUAUUUUUUCUUUAAUUCUAUAGUUCAUUUUUUUUGCAUAUAUUUACUUAGCUUAUCAUUUGUGUCUAUUCUUUAUUCUUUCAUUUCACAAUUUAUUUUUAAUUUAAUAUUUCAAACAUGAAUCAGAGAUAAACUUUUACCUUGUAACUAAAAUUAUUUACCUUUUUACCUGAGGCCCAGUGGACUAAAUAGAACACGUAGGAUAUAUGAAAUUGAUACAGAAGUGCUCUGUUAUACAUCAUUAAACAGAGAGCACUAAAGUGUUAUACGGGAGCAUAAAUGUGCUAAUAAUUGGAGAGCACUAGCGUGCUAUUAAUCAGAGAGUGCGCUAAGGUUCCUUAAUGAUAUACUACUAAUAUCCUAAUAGUUCUAAUCUCAUCUACUUGGGCAAAUUAUAUCAUGCAUGCAUACGACUUUUACACUUUGCGCAUAAUGCUUUUACAUACUUUACAAUUUAAACCUUGUACCAAUGAUUCGUAUAUUUAUACCUUCUCUACCUUUAAUACAUGUAAUAUAUUUCAAAAUUCACUAAUAAUCCAUAUAUAUCAUGUACUUCAUAUAUCAUUUUUACAUAUUAUGCAAUUUAGUCAUCAGCGCAAUAUUUCUUGUAGCAAUAUGUUUUUCUUUUAAUGACACAUAUAACAUUCAUCAUCGACAUGUAUUAUAAAACAUUUAUUCAUACUUUCAUGAGUUCCAAUUCAUCCUAAUCAAUUUUUUUUACUCAUAUACUUGAGUAUCACUUUCAACAUUAUCAGAAUUAGCUCGGUUAGGAAAACAUCUCUGUUUAUAAGUAAAACAAUUCUCAUCAGACUCGAGAGAUAUCACACUAUCACAGGUUACAUAAUGGCAUGCAUUUCUAGACUUCACAUAAGCUACGUUUGGUCCAAGAACCGACUAAAUCGUAGCUCUGAUACCAAUAAAUGUAACACUCUUAACCCGAAUCCAUUCUGACAUUGUCUCACAAAAUUUAUUAUAUCUCAUAGUUUACAAUUCUAUUACUUACACCAUUUCUUCCAUGAGAAACUAGACUCAAUAAGCUUUAAUUCUAUAUUUUAUUCAUACUCUAAUUCGAUUUUCAUAAUUUAUGGUGAUUUUUCAAAGUGAGCCUACUGUUGCUGUCCAAAACUAUUUUAGUACAAGAUGUUUAUUACCAUGUUUAUAACACCCUUAUUUUCUUUCGCUACACUAUUUCUCAUCCCUUUCUCUUAUUUUCUGUUCACUAACGUAUUAAGAACAUAGGACCAUAUAUACAAAAACUUUACAUUAACAUCAUUUCCAUACUUUUUCAAUAAUAUCAAACUUAAAAAUAUACUAAAAUCUUGAUGUACUUACCUUGUCAUAUUGAUUUCAAUCUUUAACUUGAUUUUCUCUCUCCUCCAGCUUCUAUUUCUUGAAUCUAACUUGAUAUUAUAGCUCCCCAUAGUCUCCUUGUAAUCUUUCUCUCUUGAUGGAUAUGGAAAUUCUUUUGAUUUCUAGAUGAAAAUAGUGAAUUUUUGGUGGAAGGACUAAAUUGUAAAGAAAGCAAAACUUUCUUUCUUUUCUCCUCUUAACGUGAAUUGCAUGGAAAAGAUGGUAGGUUGGUUCCUUUUCAUCUUUCUUUCCACAUAUAUAUACUAAAUAAUAAAAUAAUAAAAUAUCAUUUAAAAAUCAAAUUAAAAUACUAAUAAACUAAUAUUUAUUUAUUUAUUUAAUCUAAAAUAUCUCCAACAUCAUCAUUAUCUUCUAGAUUUCUCUCUCUUCUAAUUGACCAUUUUGCCCUUCAUGAUAUUUUAAAAUUCCAUCCUUGAGUCAUCACUUAAUUUCGUAAAAUUGCAAUUUAGUCCCUCAAAAUUCUUCACCUUUUUUCAAUUUAGUCCUAAUACAUCCAUUUUCCUUAGUUUCUAUAUCAUCCCACCCUUAAAGUAUUUACACCAUUGGUCCUUCAACUUUUUCAUAUUUACACUUUAACCCCUCAAUUUUUGAGUAUUUACUCUUGGGCAACAAAAUUUUUACGAUUUAAUCAUUUCUUGAGGUAAUAUGUCAUAAUAUACUUCCCAAUGUUGACAUAACUCCAAAAUUUCCCUUUUUGUCGCUUUAUUUCCUUAUUUUUUUAUAUCAAAGAUAAUAUCUUAGUGUAAAAAAAAAUUUUUUGGGUAUUACAGGAACAGAGUGGUGUGUAGAGGCUGGAUUGGGUAGGAUUUCUAACUGCAUAUCUACACUAAUUAAUGAUUUUGUAUUGUUACUACAUCGAUUAAUGAUAUUACAUACUGUUUACUGCAUGACUGAUAUUUGUUGCUGUUAUGGGCCAAGGCCCCACUGAUACUAUUACUGAAAUUGGGCAAAUGCCCUAUUGAUUAUUGGUAUUGUGAUGGGCUCAAGCCCAAUCGUUUAAUGUUACGGGAAAGGGCUUAGGCCCACACUGAACUGGACUGUUACUAUAACAGGCUCAGGCCCAAACUGUAUUUAUCUAUUGUUUAAUUGACUACUUACUUGUUAGGGGAUUGCACACUGAGUUUUCGUAAACUCAACCCGUUGUUUAACUGUACAGGUAAUCCCUAGUUGUAGUAGGGUCAGUGCUGCGAGGGACUCGAUGAUGGCCACACAACUGCAUCAGCUUUUGUUUUUAGCCUUUGAUUUAUAAGAAACUGAAUUUGGGUAUUUUUAUGUAAAAAGGCCUCUUUAAAGUUAUAAACUUUAAAUUGGGGUUUUUAUUUAUUUAGUUUGAUAUAAACUACUAGUUGUAGAAAAAGACGGGUUUUCAAAAGGUAAAUGUUUUCAAAGUUUCAAAAGGUAAAUGUUUUCAAAGACACCACGUUUUCGCAACAUUUCUAAAAAAAAACUUCCGCAAUGAAUGAGAUUUUGGAAAAUUUAUAACGUUUUAAAAGUGAUUAGCUUUUAAUGAUGCAUGCUUGGAAAUGAACAACCCGUUUUGGAAUCAUAGUUUAACAGCAAAAUGAUUAAUUGAUUUUAAAGAUUUCAACGACAACAAGUUUUACGCUAAACACCUUAAAGUGACACCGCCAGAUUCAACCAUAACUCCUAGGCCGGGUUUGGGGUGUUACAAUGUGUUUCAACCCUAUUAUUAGAAACUGAUACCCUAUUAUUAGAAACUGAUAAUGGAAACACAACUUUUAAUUAGAAACCUCUAAUUUUAAAAUUCAAUAGGUAAAAGCAAGUUAUCGUUAAGUGCCUGUGAUACGCUAGUAAAACUCAUUCUAGAAAAAAAAGUUUAAUGGAAACAAUUGUUAUCCAUUGCGUAUAGAGGAUGAAUUUGAAUACUAUUAAUUAAGUUCAUUGUUUAUUGUUUAAAUGUCUAAAGUAAGGGAGACAUUAAAAGAACUCUACCUUUAUAAACAUAAGAAGUGGUGCCACUUCAACAAGUAAAGGUAGGGUCUCUCUUGUAAAUGUUUAUUAUGAACAAGAUAAGCACAUGAUCAUUUUAGUGCUAAAAGUGAACAACCUCUGAUAGAAAUAUAAACGAAUAUUAUGUAUAGUGUAUUUCAACUUCUAAUACUAGGAGUUGUGGUUCAAUCUUCGGACACCGACAACUUAUUAAAACUUUGAAAAGCAUCCGCUUAUUGAUGGUUCAUAUUGAGAGGUAUCAUCUUUAAUGCAUAAUAUUUGUUUGAGUGAAUGACCAUAAAGUAUGGUACCAACAUUUAAACUAAGGGUGAUUGUUAGUAGUUUAUAAUUUUGGCAGUAAAAAUAUUUUAUUAUGUAGAAAAGUCUAAUAAAUUAUAAUUAUUGGUCAAAUAGUUGUGUUGUAAAGACAAUUUUUGUAUGUAAAGUUGUCUUAUAAACUUUAUGUAAAGUUGUGUUGUAAAACAACAAAAUUAUAUGAAAAUGUAUCUUAUUAAAAGAUACAUCCAUAUGAAAGGGUAUCUCAUGAAAAGAUACACCUAUUAGAUGUCUAUAUAAAAGAUUUUUCUGUUAGUUAUUUAAAUUGUUUUGCUUGGAGUGUUGAGGGCUUUGUUGUAUCUUGAAGGUAUUUUAAAAUCUUAAAGAAAGUGCUCUACACACCUUAAAGUCAUUAUAUUUUAUAACAUUAUUUUAUUUUUCUAACUUUUAUUUUCCUAUUAUUUAUUUUUCUAACAGCUAGAAUAUAGGAAAAUUAUUAUGUUUCUAGCUAUAUAUUGAAUACAAGUAUGUUGGUGUUUAGAACUCGAACUUUGAUGGUUGAUCGAGAGAUUUGAAGCAGAAAGAAGAGACGGGAAGUUUUAAGUAGAAAAAUAAUUGAAGACUGGAAUAUAUAAUUGAUUUGCACCUCAACUAUUUAAAUACAAAAGUUCAAGCUAAAAAUAGAAAAAAAAAGUUCUAAAAAUCUGCUAAAAAUCUGGUAACAAAAUAGCAAACAAAUCAAAAAUCUAAUCUCCUAAAGUCAAGGAGAAUUAUUCAAACUUAGUAACAGAAAAAAUUUAAAUGGCAGCAAUCUUAAACACAUGAUCUUAACACUCCUCCUUGUUUAGAUGCUACAAACUCCAAGUUUCUUCCUGAAGCUUUCAAACUUGCUAAGUGGCAAUGGUUUGGUGAAGAUAUCUGCAAUUUGAUCUUCAGAUUUGUAGUAACAAAGAGACACAUCACCACUCUUUUAAACUUCUCGAACAAAAAAUAACUUGAUGUUAAAAUGCUUAGUCUUCCCAUGAAAGACUGGAUUGUUAGAGAUUGCAAUGGCAGCCUGGUUAUCAACUAGAAUCUUUGUGCUUUGCUUCUACUCCAUGUUUAGAUCAACAAGAAUCUUCCUUAACCAGAGAGCUUGGUUAACUGUUGCUGUUGCAGCCAUAAAUUCUGCCUCAACAGUGGAUUGAGCUACAGUUUCUUGCUUCUUCGAGCUCCAAGAGAACAUGCCUGAUCCAAGGCAAAAACAAUAACCAGAGGUACUCUUCAUAUCAUCAGUUAAGCCACCCCAAUCACUGUUAGAGAAACCAAUCAACUUCAAUUCCCUAUGCUUUAAAAACUUUACUCCAUAAUUCCAGGUCCCCUUGAUGUAUCUGAUAACUCUUUUUGCAGCUCUCAUGUGAGUCUCAUUGGGACAAUGCAUGAAUCUGGAGAGAAUACUUACAGCAUUCAAGAUGUCGAGUCUGGUUGUUGUUAAGUACAUUAGACAACCUACCAAACUCCUGAACUCAGCUUCAAUGACUUUGGCAGAACCAUCAUCUUUGAUUAGCUUCUCUUUUUGAUUCAUAGGAGUACUCAUUGCUUUGCAAUCUUCCAUAUGGAAUUUUCUAAGUAUCUCCUUUGCAUACUUUCUUUGACAGAUGAACACUUCAUCUUGGCUUUAUUUGAUCUCAAUGCCAAGGAAAUAAGACAUCAGAUCAAGGUCUGUCAUUUCGAAGACAUUAUGCAUUUCCAAUUUAAACUGAUUAACUUGAUCGAUAUUGCUCCUUGUAAUCAAUAAGUACAAAUAAGCAAGCUUUUUCCUUUGAUUUCCUUAUCUUCUUUUCUUUUUGUGCUUUAAUCUGUGCCACAGUAGGAUUUGCUGGAAGAGGUGGGACCUCGUAAUCCUCUUCUACAGGUUCCCAAAGAUCCAAAGCCUCUAUGUAAGUCUCCAUGCGAACUGCCUACAUCUGGUAAUUGUCUCCAUCGAAGACUGGUGGUGCAGCAACUGAAAAACUGGACCCUCCUUCCAUAUUAACACGCAAAUAACCUAACAAAUCCCUCAAGAAAAUAGCUCUGAUACCAAUUUGUUGGUGUUUAGAACUCGAACUUUGAUGGUUGAUCGAGAGAUUUGAAGCAGAAAGAAGAGACGGGAAGUUUUAAGUAGAAAAAUAAUUGAAGACUGGAAUAUAUAAUUGAUUUGCACCUCAACUAUUUAAAUACAAAAGUUCAAGCUAAAAAUAGAAAAAAAAUGUUUUAAAAAUCUGCUAAAAAUCUGGUAACAAAAUAGCAAACAAAUAAAAAAUCUAAUCUCCUAAAAUCAAGAAGAAUUAUUCAAACUUAGUAACAGAAAAAAUUUAAAUGGCAGCAAUCUUAAACCCAUGAUCUUAACAAAGUACUACUUGGAAGCCAACACCCACAAACAUGAUAAAAGUUAAUUUUGAUGAGAGUUUUGACAUGGAAGCAAGAAAUGAGGAAGAGGGUAGUUAUGCAGCAUUGUGAUGAUUUUUUAGUCUGACUAUGCAACCAUCCAAUUUAGGGUGCAUUCUCCAUUGUGGUGAAAAAGCACUUAAAGAACAUUUGGUUUUUGCACUUAAAAUGUGAUGGAAAAAUGUUUUUCCACCCAAAUACAAAAACUAGGAUAUAAAUGUUUUUGACUUUUAGCUUUUAUGUUUGGAAGUGAAAAUUAUCAAAAUAUCAUUAUUUAUAUUAACUAUUUAAAUGGUAUAUAAAAAUUAGAUUAAUUUAUAUUUUAUAUAUCAUUAUAUUAAAUUAUUUAAAUAUUAUUUAUUAUUAUAUAUUUUAAUAAUUUAUAUAUCAUCUAUUUUACAAAUAAUUUAUAUUAAUUACUUAAAAAAUAUUUGGAACUUAUAUUUCAUGUAUCAUUAUAUUAAAUUAUUUAAAUAUCACAUAAUUUAACUAAUUUUUUACUUUCCACUAUCAUGUCUAAAGAAAAGGAUAUUUUAACUUUUAACAAGAAUUUUUUGUAGCAAUGGAGAACACCAAAAAUUAAUAAACACACUUUUUCAUAGUAAUUUUCAACCACACUUUUCAACCGCAACCCUAAUGAAGAAUUAAUCCUUACUAAAGUUACCGAAGCACUAGCUUCCACCGUAGCCAUUGAAAUGGCGCUCCAAUUGGGAUUGCAACACAUUAUUAUUAAAGGAGAUGCUCUCCAAGUGGUUUCGGAGUUGAAGGAAGACAAAGGAGACCUACCAACAACCGGACCUUGAUAGCAAAGAGUUGAAUACUUGCUAAACAGGUUCAGCAAUGUAGGUUUCAACACAGGAAGAGGCAUGCUAAUGAGGUGGCACAUCAUCUGACCAAACAGGGCCUUAAUUGUUUUCCAUCUUUUGUUCAUAUGUUUGUUUUGAAAAGGUAAAACAAAUCCUCACCUAUUGAUGUUAGAACGGUUGAAUUGCUAAAAGCAUGCUGCAUGCAUAACCAUGCUUUAGGUUAGGCUUCAAAUUAAAUAAAUUUUAAAUUAUUUUUAUUUAAAUUUAAUUAUAAAAAUAAAUUAAUAUCAAUAGAAAAUUAUAUAAAAUUUUAAGAUAUUUUAUUUUUCAAUAAUAAAACGAAUCAUUCACCAAACCUAAUUCUUCAAUUUCUUUUUAAUUAGAUCACAACUCAAGCCAAGCUAACCAAUAAACACCCAAAAUCUACCAUCAUUUUCAUUUUCAUUUUUUUUUCUUUUGUGACAAAGUAGACAGAAGAUUCGGUUUGGAUAAGCUCUACGUUAUUAAGUCAAAAGCUGAAGUAAUUUUAAUCAUAAAUUGUUUUAUUUGUCUAUAAUGCAAAACAAUGACCCAGUUAGUACAAUAAAGCUUUAACUUUGUGGAACAUUUCAGUCCAAAAAAAAAAAAAAAAAGAAUUGUGGAAAUUUUAGAGCAGUUGACCAUUUCUUCGGAAUUAGUUUUCUCACUUCUUGUCCAUAUUCCAUGUAUAUUAUUUCAAGAAAUUAGGUUUAGAAAUUUGCAUAAUUCAACCAUUGAACUAAUAAAUAUUAAACAAAAAUUGGGUGGCAAAAAAAAUCUUAUUAAAAUCAUAUACUAUUACUAAAAUUUAUGAUUAAAUUAGUGUCACGAGUUAACGGGACAUUAACAAAUUAUAUUAUUUGAGGGUAUUUUAAUCUUUUUAUUAAAAAAGAUGAUGUCUCAAAUUAACUCACAAUCUAAUCUAAUUUUUCAUUUUAAUAUUGUAAAUAUUUCAUGUUUUAUUAUUAAUUUGUUUCAAAUUAUACAUUUCAUUAUUUAUUUUAUGUUAUUUUUAAACACAUCUGUAUUCUAAGUACCUAAUUUUCACUUAUGGGUAUCAGAGGCGAAUCUAGGGAGGCUGAUAGGGGUCUCGGUCCCCUUAAAAUAGAAAAUUAUUAUUUAAGCCAUUUAGAAAAUUUUAAAAUUUUAAAUUAGUAAAUGUAAAAUUACACUUUGACCCCUCUAAAAUUAUAAAAAUUUGAUUUAAUCCUUUAAAAAUUAUAAAGAUAUAAACUAUUAAAAAUAAAAAUUUCAUUUCGGCCCUGCCUAAAAAAUUUUUUUGACUUCACCCCUAAAGUAUGAUAGAGUUUCUAGUAUGAAUAAUUUUCUUUGGAAGUGUUAAACAAACAAAGGAGUUAAGUAAACAGUAGUUUUCAUACAGAAAUAUUCGGCGUUGAUGUUUCCCUUUCGAAUAAUUAAAUUAAGACUUAGGAAAAGGGAAAACAAUGAAAAAGAAACUAAAAUUGAGCUUAAUUUAUGGAGUUGGGUUAAAAUUUUAAUAUUUAAAUAUAAAAAUUCUAAUAAUUUGAUCUGGUCCGUUUCAUCUAGCAGACUAAUAAUAAAUCUUAAAACAUAUUAUAUUUUAAUUUAAAUAAAACCAAAACUAAUACACUUGACCUACAUCUACAUGUGAUCUAUGCUUCAUUUAAAUUAGUCUAAAUUAGACGAGAUCUUGAUUAGGAGUCAUUUAUUUAUAUUAUAAGUCCCUGAAACAUGCAAAACUUACAUUUAAAAAUUAAUAUUUUUACGUUGUUGUUAGAAUAUAGGGUUUGUUAAUGUUUUCGUGUGAAGUCAGCUGUUGACAUUACCAAUCAGAUAAUGAAAAGGAAACAUGGCAAUUAUUCCAUCCUAAUUGUCACCAAAUUAAGUUAAUCCAAAAAUUACCAAACGUUUAGUACUUCAAUGGUAGAGUCAGCUCUUUCUUCUAGUCUAUCAAAAAAAGUCAAUUUAACCCCUAACUCUUGGAUGGAAAAGUUUUUGCUAUGAACUUGUUGAAGUGAAUCUCAUGUGAUAUAAACGCAUCGCAAUCUCCGUGUGUAACUAAAAAUAUUUGAGAGAUUGAAUAAUUUAAAGGGGAAAAAAAAAGAAUUUACUCCCUCCACUAACAAAUUACUCUUGCCAACGUAUGUAUGAAAGUAAACACCUUUAAUUAAUCAACAAAUGCUAAAGUUCGAGGUUUAGAAUUAAUUAAAUACCAAUAUAAAUAGUUAAUUACUUUUUUGAAAUAAGGAUAAAUCAGUUUGUGAGGUUUGAAUUUUUUGUAUCUUAACAAUUGUUCUGACUUUAGAGUUUGAAGGUUUUUUUUUUAUCCAAAUUAACCUAUGAACUUAGUAAUUUGUCUCUCAUUAAGGUUUAAAUUUUUUAUUUAUCUAAGUUAAUUCUUAAAAAUCUUGAAAUUCGAGAAUAAUUGUCAAGUUAAAAAAAUUUAGAUUUCAAUAUGAGAAUAAUCUACUAGUUCGUAACCUUAAUAUAAAAACAAUUGUUAAGUUGAAAACUUAAUUUAAAAACAAAUUCAAACCCUUCUUAAGUUUACGAUUUAACCCUUUGAAAUAUUGCGUUAACUAGUAAGAGUAAGAAUUAUUUUGUGUUGAUGAUUAAAUAAAUAUUUAAGUGGAGAUCAAGUUUUACCUCAUUUGUCAAUUGUCAGGUGAAGAAUAUAUACCCCUAAAGGCCUAUCAAAAACGGACCUAUCUCUAUCUAUAUAUCUUAACUAAUUUACUAUUCAUUUUUAAUGAAAAUCAAUAAAUCAAUGAAAACGUUAUAAAAAGAAAACUACGUGAAUAAAUUAUAUGUGUAAAAUUGAAAUAUUUCUUAUUUUAGUACAAUGGUAAGGAACAUUACAUUUUUAAGGAAAUGAUGUCAGGUUCAAACCUUAAAGAUAAUAUUCUUCUUCUUGAGAAGAACAAUCCCAAACUCCAAAAUGAACCCUUAUGAAUUAUAUAAAAAAAUUUUGAAAUAUUUCUAUAAAAUAUCAUUAAAGUUUUUUAUUUAAAAAAUGUUAUGGGUAUACUUUUACCUCUUGUAAAAAAGUCUUUCAUUUCUCAAUUCUUAUGGCAUAGUAAAUUUAUCAUUAAUUUUCAUCUUUAGGUAAAAAAAAUGGUUAUUAUUUGUGUAUUAAAUAAUUGUUAGGAUAAAUUUUAAAAUUGUAUAUGAAUUUUGGUUUAAUGUUAAUUAUAUACAUUAAUUUUAAUUUUAUGUAAUUUUAUAAAUGAAAUUUUAAUUUGAUCCAAUUCUAACAAAUUAUUAACACAGUUAUUGAUAUAACAUCAUUUUAUGUUUAUAUGCUAUAUACAGAAAUAAUUAUGUUUAUUCAAUAUAAAAAUAAAUUGAUGUAUUUAUUUCUUUAAACAUAUAUGAUUGAAUCAAAAUUAAAACAUCGUGUAUAUAUUUGAACCACAAUUAAAAUUUUACAUAUAAAAUUACAUAAAAUUACAAUUUAUAUACGUAAUAAACUAAAAUUCAUAUAUAAUUUUAAGAUUUAUGUCCACAAUUCUCUAAAGCUAAACGGUGAUGAUUACCAUGGAAAUUCAAUGUACUUAACUAAUUGGUUGAUAGGAACAGGCAUGAUGAAAUCCAUGAUGGGAAGAGAGAGAAUUCAAAAACUGGAAUGCCCCCAUUAAUCCAUGCAAAUAAACUUUUUCGGUAUUACAUCAUAAUUCAUUUAAUUUUAUCAUCAUCUCUAUGCCAUAACCAUGUUUAAAGUAAAAUACUUAUAUAAAUUGAGACAUUAAUAGUUUGUAUUAUAUAAAUUAUGACAUCCAUAUAUCCAUAUUAUAAUUUUUAUGAAAAAUUAGAGCUGGCAGAUAAAAAAUGGCUUACUGAUCAAUGAAAAAUAAACUUUAUUUCUUGUAAAUUGACUUAUCCUUUUAAAAAGUAUAAAUAUUUUUUUAAAAUUCAUUUAUGAGUAAUUUUAUUAUUAUAAAAAUUAAUUUUGCAAAGUCUAAUAUUAUUAUAUUAAUAAUUUUAUUUUAAAACUAUUUAAAAAUACUAAUAUCAAAUAUUAUAAUGUUGAAUCCUAGUAACAUACAUAUUAAAUUAUUUAAAUUAUGUAAUAUUGCAAUUUUAUUUUAAUACUAAAUUUUAACAACAAUAAUUUUAAAUUUUAGAUCAUAUUUUUAAUAUAUUAUUGAAAAAUAUUUAUAUUAAUAUUUUAAUAAUAAAUAUAUAUAUUAAAAUUUAUAAAUAUUUAAUAAUAAAUGUUUUAUAGUAUAAAAUAUGAAUAUUUUAAUUAUAUAGAUAUGAGCAUUUGUUUAAAUCAUGUUUAGUUUCAUUUAUCUCCCAACUAUAAUGUGUUAUUAUACACCGUCAUAUAUAUAAUAUAUGUAAUUUAAGCAUUGUUUAUUAUUAAAUUUAUAUAUGAUAUUAAUUAUUAUAAAAUAUUAUCUUAUUAUAAAAGAAAUUCUAAUUAUCAAAAAGAAAUGUUACUUUAAUAUUUUGUAACAAGUAUAUUUAUGUUGGGCUUGUUUCAAUAAUAACUUUAAAAUGAUUUUAGAAAAAAAAUUGUCAAAUAAUAAAAAAAUAUUUUAAGCAAAAUAAUUCAAACACAAAAAACUAUCAACUUUUCCAUAAAAUCAAUCCAAUUUUAAGAAAACAUUUUGUGAAAAUUGUUUUAGGUAAAACAAAAGGAACCUAUAUUUUAUAUAGUAUUUGAAAAGUUGUUGUAUCUAGAAUUAUUAUCUUAAAUAUUUUUUUAGGUCUAAUUUUAAAUUUCAUCCCUUUAUGAAAAUUGAGAAGUUAAAUUUUCUAUUUUACUUUAUCAGUCUGUGCUUGAUUGUUUAUUAAUUUGUCGUGUAUAAAUGGUUAAAUUAUUGAUUUUUGUUAAUUACUAGCAUGUAAAUUGUCAAACUACUUGUUCUCAAGGGAACGGUAAAGUUUAAUAGUAUUAUCAAUUUAGAACAAUUUUUGAGUUUUUUCUUUUAUUUUUCAUGUUCGAGUCCAUAAUUACUCCUUCUAAUAAUGUCGUCUUUAAAGUUUGAGUUCGAAUUCAAAUUCUCUUUUUGGAAGUACAAUAUGCCUUAUAAUUAUACCUAAUACUUUUGAUUUUUGUAAAAUAUAAGAAUCAAAAUUGUGUAGUAGGAUUAAUUUCUAGAUUUUUUAAAUUUAAAAUUUAUAAUAUUAUCAAUCGCAUCACACACAAAACCAAAGAACAAGAGAAUCUAAAAAACACGUGGACCAUUAAUUUAGGAAUGGACAUUAUAUUUUAUUAGUGGAAUAAACUCAUGCAAAAUGGUUGGAAAACACAUACAGGAUUAUAUAUACUAAUCAUUUUUAUUAUUAAGCAGAAUCGGAAAUAAAUAAAUACGAGCGAAACCACUGAAUAAUACAGCAUUGAAAUGCAAUUUGUCUACAUCAUUAUUGUUCUUCACUUCAAACGCGGAGACUAGUCUAGGCUCCCAAUCUUUUGCUUUAUCUCUCUAGAUAUAUCCUUUUCAAACUAUCUUUUUGUAGCUUUAUUUGCAUCACAGCAUUAUCUUUUCCUGCAAACAACUGUUCAAUGAUUAAAACAUGCAAAACAUUCUGAAAUAAUGCACCCUUACCAGAUGACAAAAAAAAAAAAAGAUUCUAAUGUAUCUUACCUUGGAUUGGAGCACGGUCAAAGCCGUGGCUUAGUAGUGGUGAGGAGGAGGGGGUGAAGCGUAGACAUAAUGGGGUGGUGGUGGUGGAGGAGACUUGUAUUUGUAAACUGGAGGAGGAGGUGGUGGAGACUUGUACUUGUAAGGGUGCUUGGGGGGUGAUGGUGGGGGUGGUGGGGGUGACUUGUACUUGUAGGGGUGCUUGGGUGGUGACGGUGGGGGUGGGGACUUGUACUUGUAAGGAUGCUUGGGGGGUGAUGGUGGUGGUGGUGGAGGUGACUUGUACUUGUAGGGGUGCUUGGGUGGUGACGGUGGGGGUGGGGACUUGUACUUGUAAGGGUGCUUGGGUGGUGACGGUGGUGGUGGUGGGGGGGACUUGUACUUGUAGGGAUGCUUUGGUGGGGAUGGUGGUGGUGGUGGUGGGGACUUGUACUUGUAGGGAUGCUUAGGUGGUGAUGGUGGUGGUGGUGGAGACUUGUAUUUGUAAGGAUGCUUUGGUGGUGAUGGUGGUGGAGGUGGUGGGGACUUGUACUUGUAAGGGUGCUUGGGUGGUGAUGGAGGUGGAGGUGGUGGAGACUUAUACUUGUAAACUGGAGGUGGUGGGGGUGGAGACUUGUACUUGUAAGGGUGCUUGGGUGGUGACGGAGGUGGAGGUGGUGGAGACUUAUACUUGUAAACUGGAGGUGGUGGGGGUGGAGACUUGUACUUGUAAGGGUGCUUGGGUGGUGAUGGUGGGGGUGGGGGUGGCGACUUGUACUUGUAGGGGUGUUUAGGUGGUGAUGGUGGUGGUGGUGGUGGUGGUGGGGACUUGUACUUGUAAGGAUGCUUGGGUGGUGAUGGUGGUGGAGGAGACUUGUACUUGUAAGGAUGCUUGGGUGGUGAUGGUGGUGGAGGUGGUGGAGACUUAUACUUGUAAACAGGAGUUGGUGGGGGAGGAGAUUUGUACUUGUAAGGUUUCUUGUGUGGUGGUGGUGGUGGAGGAGAGUAGAUCGGAGGAGGCGGUGGGGGAGACUUGUAAUGGUAGGGUGGUAGUGGGUUCUUCUUAGGAGGUGGUGGAGGAGAAGAAUAG
RNAcentral lists this long non-coding RNA (56285 nucleotides) under Gossypium barbadense (sea-island cotton). RNAcentral's name for it is "long non-coding RNA (GBAR_LNC014012)". The record is from RNAcentral. Lineage: Eukaryota; Viridiplantae; Streptophyta; Magnoliopsida; Malvales; Malvaceae.